This 52605-nucleotide long non-coding RNA is filed under the name Homo sapiens (human). RNAcentral describes it as "non-protein coding lnc-TCP11-2:4". The record is from RNAcentral. Lineage: Eukaryota; Metazoa; Chordata; Mammalia; Primates; Hominidae.
AGGCCGCCCUGCUAGGGCCGGAGGGAGGUGGGCACGCCGGGCUCGGGACCUUCCCGGGGUCCUGCGCCCGCCCGGCCUCCCGCCCUGGGCAUGGUUGGCCCACUCCUCCCGCAGCCACCAACCUGACAGCCCCCGAGGGCGACUCCGCCGACAGACCGCCAUGCACCGGGCCCCGCCACCAGCGCCGGCCCCACAACCCGCCUGCGCCAUAGCCCGCCCGCCCGCGCGCAGCUUGCCUCGCGCGAUAUCCAGGUUCCAGGGCCGCCGCACUUUCCUUUCCUCUUGGCGCGCCUCUACCGGGCCCCGGAACCCGUAUAGAAAAUACCGGGCACGGUCCACCCCGCCCCCCGCUUCGCCGCGGCAGCCAUCCAACUUAUCCUGGUUCCGGGGCUCCUGGAGCCCAGGCGGCCGGGAUCUGAACCGAGCUCUUCGGAGCCCCGCCCCCACCAAGGCCGGGGUGACGCAUGGCCAGCGAGGCUGAGCGCCCAGGGAAGGCGUGCUGACGUCACGACGCCCGGGUCAGGGCCUGGGCGCGGCUCGGAGCCGGGUCGUCGCUAUAGCAAUCGGGAACCGCUACCUGUCCAUUCCAAGGAUUCGGUCCAGCAGAAGCGUGAGGAGGUGGCGGAGGCCCCGAGGGCUUUGCGUCAUCACUUCUGCGGCCUGCGGGCGAGAAGGUGCGCUUCGGGAGUAGCGCGGGAGGACAGGAGGCGCAGGUUGUGAGGGACGCAGGCCCUGGGGCUUCGGUCUCUGUCCUCCGAGCUCAGAGCCUCCAGGCUUCUUCCCGGCCGCGCGCUCAGCACUCACUGUCUUACGGUCCCGAAGCGCUUUAAGGUGCGCAGUCCGCAGGCCUUGCCUACUGAUCUUCCAGCCACCCCUUGAAGGAAGCAGUUGCAGGUAUUAAGAGCUCCUUAUUGAAAAGGACGAUGUAGAGGGGCGGUGAGGGACUCGCCUCCGCAGGGAGGGCGCCCUGGCGGUCUUCUCAGGUUCUCUCUCAUUCCCGCGUCAGCUCCACCGUCAGGCUCGAAACCGACUACUCCCUUUUGUAGGCUUGCUUUGGGUUGAACAUAAAAACCAAGCCCCUUUACUAUUUCCCUGCUGGGAGGGGCUGCGAUUGGGAAAUUUUCAGAAACCUGAGGGAAAAUUAAAAGGGAGCGAGCUUUCGGUAAAAAAUCAAAUUAAAAAGGAGGGGCGUUAGAGAAGGAACUGGUAAAGAUUGCCUUUUAGGAGAGGAACUGGGUGGCUGGAAGAAUGAGGUGAGAAACUUUCCCCUCUCUAUCCUUUCAGACUUUAACUGGUUUCUUUUGUAUCUUCCCCGCCCCGAAAACAAUUUAACUUAAUAAGAAUAAUUUUUAAAGGACGUAAACUAGACACAGUUACAAAGUACGGGGUUUGGGGCUUGUGGUAGCUAAAGGUGUCUUUGGGGAUGCGGGCAUCCUUUUCCUCUCCUGCCUGAAGAGCUUAACUAGAAAGCCCCCCUUUCGGUCUUAGACAUCCCCUCUUCCUGACUUGUUCUGGCUGGGACCAGAGUUCAGUUUAGGUAGGCCAGUGAGUGACAUUUGAUGGUUAGAAUUCCUACGGUUAGAAUUAAUCCCUUCUGUAUCUCCUAGUAUGGAAAUAAACUGCCUGGCCACUAUGCUGCCCUCUUUCCAUUCCUUUUUGGUGGAAGUUUGACAAGUUAUUUCCCAUAGAAAAUAACUUAUAGGCCGGGCGCCGUGGCUUAAACGCCUGUAAUCCCAGCACUUUGGGAGGCUGAGGCGGGCGGAUCACGAGGUCAGGAGUUCGAGACCAGCCUGGUCAACAUAGUGAAACCCCCCCUCUCUACUAAAAAUACAAAAAAAUUAGCUGGGCGUGGUGGCGGGCGCCUGUAAUCCCAGCUACUCCGGAGGUUGAGGCAGGAGAAUUGCUUGAACCCGGGAGGCGGAGGUUGCAGUGAGCCAAGAUCGCACCAUUGCAGUCCAGCGCGGGCAACAGUGUGACUCCGUCUCAAAAAAAGAAAAAAAAAAAGAAAAAGAAAAAGUACCUUAUAGAUACAGAGAGAAGAUUAAGUAGCUCCUCUUAUAAUAUGAAUUGAGGGUUAGAAAUACCGCAGGGAAUAGAACUCAGGCUGUACCUGAGUUUGUCCCUCUCCAACCACCCUUUUUCCAUAGCUCUCUCUGUAUAUAUAUAUCUGUCUUUUCUCACAUUCCUUACGGAUCGUAAUCUGAUGGCCAGUCACCUCUGCAAUUAUACAUUUAACAAGAGCUCUGGGAAACAGUGUCUGAAUCUGAAGUAAUGAUCCUAAUGGAAGGUAAUUUCAGGUUCUCAGGAGAAUUGGUGAGGAUAUUUUGGAGGGCAGUAUUGAAGACCAUUGCUAGCAGUUUCUCUCCUAUCCCUUCCACUCAACAUAUAGGCUGGUGAUCUUCAGACAUUUUUUAGAAUGAACCCAUAAAAGAAUUUUGAAGAGCUAUGUACCUCUUGUUCAUUUUUAAGUUGAUACCUAAAUUUUCCUUCAUUAAUUUAAAUACUUAUAGAGGAUACAAUUUCAAAUUUUGACAUCUUAAACUAAGACUUACAUCAUUCUUUUUUUCUGAGACGGAGUCUCGCUCUGUCAACCAGGCUGGAGUGCUGCAGUGGCGAAAUCUCAGCUCACUGCAACUUCCCCUUCCAGGUUCAAGCAAUUCUCCUGCCUCAGCCUCCCGAGUAGCUGGGACUACAGGUAUGCGCCACCAUGCCUGGCUAAUUUUUAGUAGAAACGGGGUUUCAUGGUGUUAGCCAGGAUGGUCUCGAUCUCCUGACCUCGUGAUCCGCCCGCCUUGGCCUCCCAAAGUGCUGAGAUUACAGGCAUGAGCCACCACACUUGGUCUACAUCAUUCUUAAUGUAUCUGGCAGGGCAGGCACAGUGGCUCAUGCUUGUAAUCCCAGCACUUUGGGAGGCUGAGACAGGCGGAUCCCGAGGCCAGGAGUUCGAGACCAGCCUGGCCAAGAUGGUGAAACCCUGUCUCUACUAAAAAUACAAAAAUUAGCCGGGCAUGGUGGUGCGUACCUGUAGUCCUAGCUACUCGGGAGGCUGAGGCAGGAGAAUCACUUGAACUCGGGAGGCGGAGGUUGCAGUGAGCUGAGAUCGUGCCACUGCACUCUAGCCUGGGCUACAGAGUGAGACUGUCUCACAUUAAAAAAAAGUAUCCGGUGGAUUCCAAGUACCCUAAAAAUCUAAUGCCUACCAUCAUCCACUUAAAAAUAUAUGAACAAGCUCUUCAACAGAAAUUUUAUAUGGUUCUCUUUCUCCUUAUACUUUGAAUUCCAUUCACUUCCUGUAAUCAUUAGUAUAUAACUUACUAAACUUUUUUUUUUUACUAAAUAUUACUAAAUACUAAAUUUUCCUAAAUAUUUUUAACAUUUUUAUGACUUGUGAAACCUAAAAAGUACAAUUUUUAUUGAAAAUGCAUCUGUUAAUGAGAAAUAUGGUGUUUCUCCCCAAUUAGUUCAGGUAUUCAUGGAUUAAUAUUACCUAAUGGUAGAAGGAGAUAAGGUGCAACAUCAAUCCUUUACCUGUUUUUUAUUUUUAUAGACAUGAGUAUUGAGAAACCUUGUUUCCACAAUUGGGAAAGGAAGAGAUUUGUUACAAUGAUAUUCUUUGAGUCUUUGAACUUCUAAAUUAUAUGCCAACAAUCACAGAGUGAUCUAUUAAUACUAUCAAAUAGAGUCUUCUUUUAAUUUUGUUAAAAGCAAAGGAUUAGAAACCACUGAACUUCCAAAAGGAUUUAGUUAUUAGAGUCUCAGUUUUGGUUUUAUUAAACAUGAUUAUUAAUUAUCUGUGACCUUUACACUCAGAGACACUUUGUUAAUCAGAUAUUGAUUUCCAUACUUCUUUGCCUACACAAUAUUUUUUGGUAAAAUUCUUUAAUUAUUACAUGUCUUCAAGAACUUUUUGUUAAACUGAAAUGCAGAUUCAGCUCAUUCACUGUAUAGAAAACAACUGCCAUUUGUGGAAUUGGCAAAGCCAGUUUUCAUUUCAAACCAAUCAGCCAAAUCAGACCUACUUUCUGUUAGAAACAUGUCUGACUUUAUUCUUCCAUUCAAAUAAAUAUGUUAACAUUCAUUUUGAGGAAUAUUAUAAAAAUUAUUAGGAAAUAAAUGAUUAACUAUAGCUUAUAAAAUGGACCACUGAUAAACCAGUCAAGAUUAAAAUUAUUUAGACCUACUAUUAACAUAAUAAAUGGUAAAAAUAAGAUAGUACUGUUUUUCAUUAUAUAAUUAGGAAUAAUGCUGUAUAAUGUAUAGUUAAAUCCAUCAGUUUUGAGAAGUCAUAUAGAAGGCAUAUAUUCCCUUGGUAAAUGUGUGUGCCUGCUUUCAUCAAACUCUUGUUGUUCAGCUUUUGGGAACAAUUAAAUGAGAAUCAUGUCUAAAAAUCAGAAAUAACUAAUAAUCUUGUUACACAAAUUUUUUUCUUCUGUAUUUUUUAGAAAGGAAAGCUGUAUUUGCUAAGAAAUAAUGAAUUGAGCAGCUAGCAAUUUCACUUUUUACUAGGAGGUAGAAAAUAAUAAACAUUUUAUAUAAGAUAAAAUAGGAAGACUGAUUGCAAUGGGAAUAUUUUGAUAUGAAGUGGAAAAUAAUUGCUCCCUCCAAGCUCCUCAGGUUUUUACACCCUGGACCAUGCAUCAAGAUUCAGUGUAGGGGAGAGACAUUCCUUUCUUUUGUAAAGUAGGACAAGGACUAUGGUGAAAGUGGGGGCAGUGGUAGAGUGGAGAAUGUGCAUGAAUAUGUCAGCUGGCUCCCAAAUGGAUUGGUUUUUAGAAUUUUUUUUUUUUUUUUUUUUUGAGACGGAGCCUCGCUCUGUCACCCAGGCUGGAGUGCAAUGGCAUGAUCUCAGCUCACUGUAACCUCUGCCUCCCGGGUUCAAGCGAUUCUCCUGCCUCAGCCUCCUGAGUAGCUGGGAUUAUAGGCGCGUGCCACCACGCCCGGCUAAUUUUUGUAUUUUUAGUAGAGAUGGGGUUUCACCUUGUUGGUCAUGCUGGUCUCAAACUCCUGACCUUGUGAUCUGCCUGUCUUGGCCUCCCAAAGUGCGGGGAUUACAAGCAUGAGCCACUGUGCCUGGCCGUUUUUUUUGUUUUUGUUUUUGUUUUUUGAGAUGAAGUUUUGCUCCUGUUGCCCAGGCUGGAGUGCAGUGGCACGACCUCGGCUCACUGCCACCUCCGCCUCCUGGGUUCAAGCGAUUCUCAUGCCUCAGCCUGCCAAGUAGCUGGGAUUACAGGUGCCUGCCACCACGCCCGGCUGUUUGUUUUUUUUUUUUUCUGAGAUGGAGUCUUGCUCUGUUACCCAGGCUGGAGUGCAGUGGCCCAAUUCAGCUCCCUGCAACCUCCCCUUCCUGGGUUCAAGAGAUUCUCCUGCCUCAGCCUCCCAGGUAGCUAUAAUUACAGGUGUGCACUGCCACACCCGGUUAAUUUUUGUAUUUUUAGUAGAAAUGGGGUUUCACUAUGUUGGCCAGGCUGGUCUCAAACUCUUACCUCAGGCGAUCCGCCCGCUACAGCCUCCCAAAGUGCUGGGAUUACAGGUGUGAGCCAGUGCACCCGGCCUGGUUUUAGAAAAUAUUUUAUAGGGAAGUUGAGGAUCUGGAAAUUUAUUCCUUUAAAACUCUCCUCAGACUGAUUUGAGGCUAUUUCCUGGGUAUUCCUUGCAGUCUUACGUACCCUAGGAAAAAUCUUCAUUUACCCCACUUGGAAGACUUCUUAAUAUAGGCAUAUCCAAACUCCAAUGUCCCUGACUAUCCAUUAUUUUGAGACACCAAAGCAAAUGUCCUACGAAGUAAGGAGGAAGACGUGUUGUUCUUAGAAUAGAAGUGAGUUAUGAGAGAAGUCAAAGAGGAUGGCUCCAAGUUGGUAUAGUGUGAAGGUCAUGGAUAUGGUCCUUGGCUUUGCAGUUCUAGAAGUGUGAUUUUGGGUCAGUCCACACAAAGGUGUUCAUGUUUUGUCACAUUAAAUCAAACUCAUAGGAAGUUAAUGUACAUAAUAGAAUGCCAGUGCAUUCUUUUAUACUUACAGCCACCAAGUGAACUGGAUUAUCGCUCCUGUUGGGUAAAUCUUAUCUGGGAAGAUCAAUUAUAAUCAGAAAGUUACAUGAGGAGUGUGGAUCUUGAGCAUGGCUAUUGUCAAUAAGCUGAUGAGCAGGUGCUCACUACCUGGCAUAUAAUAGGAUCUCAGUAAUUAUGGAAUGAAUGUACUUCAUCUGUAUCUUCAUUAUAGAUGCUAAAGGGUAAGUUUAAGAUUCUGAUAGGCCACCCCACAUGUUUUUUGAUCAGGUAGAUUUUUCCUUGUUGCUCAAGUUAUACUCUUAAAUGGCUAUAUCAUGUAGAUAUUAAAUCCAAUAAAAUUUCAUGAAAGGGAAUUAUAUAAUUGCAACAGCAAAGUUUUAUCUAUAUCUCUGAGCCUAGAAAUUGGGACUGUUCAUUUAUAAUAGAGAUUGGAGAUUGCUUUCUCCUGCCCUGUAGGAGUAGUGAUGGUGGUAGUGACUAAAUGAUCUGUAUUUCACAAUACUAUUUGGUGGCUAAGAGUGUACUGCAUACAAAGAAUGACACUGGGUGACCCUCAGUGCUGGCGCUUUCCUAGAGGUGGGACAUCCUGAGUAGGGAGGUGCUGAACCACCUGUGGGCUGGCCAGCUGUUGUGGACUGUACUGUGGAGAGGAGGAACAAUAAAUUUCCCCCACUCCUUAGAUCCCCCUCAGGAGAUAAUACUUGAUGCUGCUUUUAAGGACAGAGAAAAGACAAGCCUUUUCAAAUUUUAAAAUCAUUAGGGAUGAGUUGCCAAAAAAUUUGGGUUAAGUUUUAUCUGGAAGCCAGAAGACAUUGUCUCCUCAAGGCUUUUUCUGGCUCUGGGAUAAGCUAUUGAGAUAGAGGAAAAGAUGCCGGGCUGAGGAGUUUCAUUUAGUAUUUUAAUAAUAAUAAAAAAGACAUACAAAAUCCAAACAUUUCUUUUUACAAUUCAGAUACAUAUUUUUCCCCAAGUGCAAAAUACUCUAUGAACUGCAUCAUUUGCUGUUUAUUGUCGAUUGUAUAGGAGAUGCUUACUAAAUUGGCAGCAGUGGAAGGCAGAUAUAAAUACAAUAUUUUGAAAUUUCUUCUGCAUUUAACAAAAAGCCUCCCACAUGGCGAUGAUUAUUCUGAAACUUGAGUUCAGCUCACACAGAAGUAUAAAGUUUUCAGUUUGUUCAAACUGCUACAACCUGUGGUGUCUAAAAAAGCUGAUGACAACUGGGGGUUCUAUUCCUUCUAAUCAUAUAUUUCCUUGUACAAAUAAUGGCACAAGGAUAGGGUGUGCUACUUUUGAGACGGGUCAAAUGUAAAAAUAUCCUUGUGUUGUUCGCUCCCACUUUUAUUGUGCUUAAGAAAGAAACCUGGAGGGUUAACAUUUUCUGCUUAUGCUCAGUUAUACUUUGUCUUGGUACCCCUUGUUUGUACUAAGAUGAAUGGAAGCCCCACAAUACUGUCGCCCCACACCCUACACGCUGCAGAGAGGCCUCUGGGUUGCUUCAUGAAGGGAUCCUAUUUAUACCAUCUUUCCAUUUCCCUCCAAUGGUAAAAACCUCUCUUCUGUCUGACCUGUAAAGACCUAGAAUGUCCCUGAGCGUUGACUCCUCAUUCAAUCCAGUUAACCCCUAGUUUGAUGUCCCAGGGCCAGCCUCCUCCAUAGAUUCAGCAGCAGCUUUGCCUGGGUUCUUAACCCUCCAACUUGGAGGACCUAAAUUAAACUUGGUGGACAAUAGCAGGUUUUUACCUGCUCACCAAGAUCUGCCUUGACAUCAAUUAAGAAGCCUAGUGGUCUAUGCCUUCCGUACUGUGGAACUCAUUUGCAGGUCUCAUAAGCCAUGGAAUAAAUGGUUGAAGGAUGUGUAUUUGUAUGUAUGUAUGCAUGGUGUGACAGGAAAGGAAGGGAGAAAGGAGAAGCCAGACCCUGAAGGCAUAAAUUAAGAAGCAUGGUCACCGUUUGGCUUUCCAAGAGACGCAAAACGGCUGGCAGAGAGGAAUCAGAAAGUUAUCCUAGGCUGGGCGCGGUGGCUCAUGCCUGUAAUCCCAGCACUUUGGGAGACUGAGGCGGGUGGAUCACCUGAGGUCAAGAGUUCAAGACCAGCCCGGGCAACAUGGUGAAACCCCAUCUCUACUAAAAAUACAAAAAUUAGCUGGGCGCGGUGGCGCAUGCCUGUAAUCCCAGCUACUUGGGAGGCCGAGGCAGAAUUGCUUGAGCCUGGGAGGCGGAGGUUGCAGUAGGCCGAGAUAGCACCAUUACACUCCAGCCUGGGUGACAGAGCGAGACUCCAUCUCAAAAAAAAAAAAAAAAAAAAAGAAAGAAAGAAAGAAAGUUAUCCUAGCUUCUGGUGGAGAAUUAGGAUAGUCAGAGUUGAUUAAAGCAGUUUUCAUGGUGCUUCCUGGGAAGUACAGAGACACUCAUACUAAAUGACCAUUUCCCUUGUUUGGAAGCAGCCAUUUUGCAUCUUUACAGUGGCCCUCCUUGACCCAGAAAGACAAAGGUAGCCAGACACUCUACCCACAAGGACCAUGAUGUUGGCUAAUGGUUGUCAGGGAAUCUAGCUGUGUCAUUGGCUACCUACUGCUAUGGCCGUUUUGGCUGAUGAAUGCUACUGAUGGGAGGGCAGGGAGUCAGACUCCUUUAUUUAGUGUUGAGUCUCCUGGGGGAGCAGUAGCCUAGGACAGUCACCUAGAAAUGAACCUGAGCUGUUCUGUGAGUUACCAGGAGAGUUAAAAAGAAAAAAAAAAAAAAAAGAAAUGAACCUGAGGACUCAGUUGGUAGCCUUUGAUUGAUUGGGACUACAGCUUUGGGGGAACUAGAGUGAGAAAACAGAAAAUAAUUUUAUAGGCAACACUUGGAUUAAGGGCAGAAUGUGUGCAGGCUUUGGGCUUGGGCAUGGACUUGAUUCUUCUUCCAUUUGAUUCUUUCUUCCUUCUGAAAAACAGUAGUUGAGGAAGCUAAGCUUGAAGUCAACUUCAAAGGGAAGUGACCAGAGCCAGGCAAAUAUCUGAUGCCUUCUGUCUUAUUCUUGGCUCCCACAGCUUUGUCUCUGGCCUCGGGACCCUGAGUCAGCCCAUCCCCAGGUGGUAUGUCCUGGUCCUCUUCCAUGUGUACACCAGGGGAUAACAGGAUGAAGACAGGGAAAAGAUGGAGGUUUUCCCUACUUGGGGUAGAGAAUCACUGACCAGUUCCAUUGGCCUCUAUAAUCAUGAGGUCCACACUGACUCCAUGGAGAGGCAUAGGGAUAGCAAGAUUGGUUUAGCAAACAUAGGUCUCUCUCCUUUCUGCUCCAUCAAAUCCCCAGAAUUACUUUCCUACACAUCAGAUGCCUCUGCGCAAUUACCCUGGAUUACCACAGCCAAGGGCUCUAGGUGGCCAGUGGUGGCAUAGAGACAGAUCAGAUGCUCCAGCACUCAAGGUUCAUGAGAUUCAAAACCGAUUUUCUUCCACUCCAAACAUACACUCUUUUCUCUUGGGCAGCUAUAAAUAGGGUUUUGCUAAUAGAGGAAGAAGAAACAAAAACAAAAAACAAACCCAGAAAACAAAAACCCCUCCGUCUAGACAACAUAGAAAGACUCAAAAUGAUUGCACUUAUUAGGUGUGGACAGGGUGGGCAGGAGGCUCGCCAAGUGCACACACAUUCCUUUUGCUGCCCACAGCCUGAGGCCAGAGGUAGGUGGCUCCAGGCUGGCUUCAGAGUGGGGUCCUCUUUGGUGAAGCCCACAAGCCAGCUGGGGCUACAAGGGAAAAACAACUGUAGGGCAAGGCCUAGGCUGGCUUCAGGUCAAUAACCAUGUUUAAGGACAACAUGUAGCAAGGGGAGUAGGGCUCCCCCAGGGAGCAUCACAUGGGGCUGAGGAGGUGGCUGGGCCAGGGAAGACAAGAAAAGGGAUUAGUGUUUGAAGUUGACUUCCAAUUGUUCUGUGUCUAGUCCUUUAGAUGAUACAUUUUUUCUUUCUGUUUUCUUUUUUUUGGCAAUGCUUUAAAACCUUGUUUCUGUCCUGCAGAGUUACAGUCUUUCUCUCAGGGAGCUACAGCGGGGCAUUCACCAUGACAAUGCCUGCUGCUCUUCCUCAUUUAGCCGGUGUCCACUAACUCAGUGUUGUGGGCCAUUUGUAAACCCUUAUGGAGUAGACCCCAGGCAGACGUAGGGAAAGAAAGAGAGGAUCUGUAUAGACAAGAAAGCUGGCCAUGUGGGAAGUCCAGAGCUCAAACCAUGUGCCCCAGAGGACUGGUGCUGGCAUUAAGCCUGUAAAUCAAAGGCUUCUUUGGCAGGACCCUGGGCUGUUAGAAUCACCCUAGGGAGCAGAGCCAGGGGACAUUUUGGCCCCUGACUAGCAAGGCACAACCCUAUAAUGGCAGAAGCCCUUCUUUCCCCUCCCCGUUUCCCACCAGACCCACUUCCUUGAUGGGCCUCUAGCACCCUUCCAAGCUGAUGGGGUCGGGAAUGUGAGCUGGUAAAAUGGGCAGUGGAAGGGGCUGUACUGUUUCUUUACAUCUCACGGGGACUAGAGCCAGUACUGAAUGGCUUUUCUAGGUAGUGUGUUAGAAAAGGGGGAACAGUAGAGAGGCAGGCAGAGAGAGACAAGGAAAGGAAACUAGAAAGACAGAAAGGGAGAGUGCCUGGUUUGUGUAGUGAUAUUUUUUUUUUCCCUCCAAAAAGAGAGGAGAGAGUUCCUUGUCUGAGGGUAGGGGGCUGCCGGCUCUGAGGGCUAAGGAGUCUGGGGGCUUAAAAAAUUGGGUCUCUGAGCCUAGGGUUACUAUUUGUAGGGCCUCAGGAAGCUGGAAACUUUGGAGCGGAGCAGCUUGAUGAAGGAUUUUGGCAGCAUCUCCUUGUGUUUCUCUGUGUACUUGAAGUAGUUCUGGGGGUGGGCUAGCACCUCAAAGAAGGCCUUGAUGAGCUUCUUGUCCUGCAAAGGAUGGCAGGGAGCAAUGUCAGCCUCACCGUCGGGGGUGGGAAAGAGAAACACCAUGACUCAGCAGCCCUUCUUGAUGUCUACUAGGCAUCCUAUACUGAAUAUAUCCAGAGGGCAACUCUGGAUUCCCAUUCCCACCAUCUGCCCUUAUUCUGGAAUUCCACAACUGAAUCAGUGGCAGCUCCAUCCUUCUGUUGCUUAGGCCCCAAUCCUUGGAGCCAUCCUUGAAUCCUCUUUCUUGCUUACAAGUAUAGCAAAUCCUAUUGACUCUACCUUCAAAAUAUGUCUGGGUCUGACCACUUAUCAUCUUCCCAAGCCACCACUGUCUCUGACUUGGAGUACUGUAGUAGCCUCCUAACUGGUCUCCAUGCUACCUUUGUCCCUCCGUAGACUCUUCUCCCCACAGCAGCCAGAGUGACUUUUUGUGUUUUUAAUUAGUUCAUCUUUUUCCUGUUUGAAACUCUUCUCUGGUUUCUUUUAUCACUCAUUGGCAGAAUGUGAUCUGUAUCUUGCUUUCCACCUCCACUCUUGCUCCCUCUGCUGAGCCACACUGGCCUUCUGGAGGUUCCUGAACACACUAAAUUGCUCCCAUGCUCCUUAGCUUGGAAUGCUCCUCCCUCAUCUUCUAAUGGGGAGCCCUUUUACCUCAUUUGGGUCUCUUCUCCUUAGAGGCCUUUCCUGACCACCCUGUCUACAACAGUAGCAUGGUAUGUGGAGAGCCUACUAGGUGCCAGGCACUGUGCAUUAAAACUCAGGUCUUCUGGCUCCUAGGCUGGUGCUCCUUCCAUGGCGUCAGUGGAUUUUUCAAAUAAGAAGUAGGGGUUUCAGCCUCUUACCCCACUUUAAUCAGAACAGCUGCACUGCUUUAUGUGUUGGAAUUCCACAGUACAUUUGAUUUGAAAUAAGGGUUCAGAUGCUUUAAAAAUGUUUGAAAAGUAUUAUUAAAAGUAUAUUCUUUGAAGUCUGCAAGUUCUAGGUGAUUUUUGUUGUCAAGGCUUUUAUUUUGAUGAUAAUAUAAAAAUAUUUUGCUAACACUUAACUUUUUUGCAGUGAUAAUUUAUGAAGGAUAAUUCUAUGACUACGACUAUAGUUUCCUUUUUUUUUUUUUUUUGAGACUGAGUCUAACUCUUGUUGCCCAGGCUGGAGUGCAAUGGCAUGAUAUCAGCUCACUGCAACCUCUGCCUCCCCGGUCCAAGCAAUUCUCCUGCCUCAGGGUCCCGAGUAGCUGGGAUUGCAGGCGCCCGCCACCACACCCAGCUAAUUUUUUGUAUUUUUUUAGUAAAGACGGGGUUUCACUAUGUUGGCCAGGCUGGUCUGGAACUCCUGACCUCAGGCGAUCCACCCGCCUCAGCCCCCCAAAGUGCUGGGAUUACAGGCAUGAUCCACCAUGCGCAGCCAGACUAUAGUUUCUUAAGGAAGAUUUUCUUAAAUUGGGAUUCACCGACCCAGGGCAUCUAGUCCAUUCUUCCAUGUUGGAAGUAUUUAUUUUCCUUGAAAAGAAGUCUGUACAUAAAUUGAUUCUGAGAAAGCUGUGCUAGAUCUGCCGCUGCUUUUUUUGUUUUUGUUUUUUUGAGACAGGGUUCACUCUUGUCACCCAGGCUGGAGUGCGAUGGCGCCAUCUCGGCUCACUGCAACCUGCGCCUCCUGAGUUCAAGCAAUUCUCCUGCCUCAGCCUCCUGAGUAGCUGGGAUUACAGGCGCCUGCCACCGCACCCGGAUAAUUUUGUAUUUUUACAAAAUUAAGACGAGGUUUCACCAUGUUGGCCAGGCUGGUCUCAAACUCCUGACCUCAUGUGAUCCACCCGCCUCGGCCUCCCAAAGUGCUGGGAUGACAGGCGUGAACCACCACACGCAGCCUAUCUGCUGCUGCUUAAUGAGGCCUGGGGAGAGAAUAGGGGAAGGAAGGGACUUAUGCAAAAGUAUCUUUCUAUACUUCACUUUCCCUAUGUCUCUUGGAAGAGGUAGGGACAUUUCUUCUCCUCACUUUCCCUUUCUCUUCCAAGUUUUCCCCAAGGUGUAAUAUAGUGUGGGUGACGCUGCAGUCGGAUAGGCUUGGGCUCAAAUCCCAGCUUCCCAUGGGGCAGGUUCUUUAACUCUCUAUACCCCAGUUUUCCCAUCUGUAAAGAAGCAAUGGAGAAAGCACCUACCUCAUAGAGCUAUUGUGUCUAUCAAGUGAGAAUAUUCAUGUAAGCACUUAGCCUAUUGCCUAUAUAUUGUUACAUGCUUAUUAAAUGUUAGCUAUCAUUAUUGUUAAUAUUCAUUCACCUUUAAAAUCUCCUGGUGGUUUUCAGAGGCAUAGAGCCGGCCAUCUCGCACAAUGUCUUCUACCAGCUGCUCAUAGUCCUCUGCAAAGUCAACCAAGGUGAGGGGCUCAGGGGCGGGAGCUCUUCCUGCUCUCCUGGUUCCCUCUCAAAACUGACAUACCUCCCCUUCUCACCCACCUCCUUGGCUUACCAUCAUAGGUAACAUAGGGAAUCUGGAAGCCACGGGCGCUGUUGGCCUCGCUUGUCUUGAAGUUGAUCCAGAGCUUCCUGGAACGGGCAGUGAAGGCAAUGGGACGCUCGUAGGUCUGGCAGGUCUCAUAAGUGGUAAUGGAGGAUGGGGAUGCUGGGAAGGCAAGCAGCAGGUCAGUAGAGCAGCAGGGCAGGCUACCCAAGCCCUCCUAGAACGUGGGCUGUACAGCUGGUGGUGGGGGUAUAGGGCAAGAGAAUCAUUCUGACAAAGGCUCCCCCUUCGCAUACACACACCCUACCCCACACCCUCUCCCAUUGCCCACUGGGCUCAUUCCACAAUUCCUCCUUGAUACCUGGGCACUCACAUAGUGUAAUAAAUAUGACAUUUAAAUGAAUGGAAUGGCAAAAAUGCUAGGAUAGGAAAGUGAUACAUGUAACGCCAUUGGAGUUCUAGCCCCACUGCUAGCUUUCUUAACUCUGUUUUCUACCAAACAUGUGUCAUUGCUGUUUUCCUUUGUUAGCUUCUCUCUUCCUAAAGGCCUCUCACUAUUUCACCCUCAUAGAUCCCUAACUUCACUGCCCCAUUUCUUCCUGUAUCAGUCUCUCUCUUUGUUCUCCGCCUUAACCAGAUUUGGACUGCCCUUCCCUGGCCCAGCUCUGCAAGCCACCCACAGUUCUUUCUCAUGACGAGGACGUCCCCACACUCAUCCUCAGAUGGCAGGAAGAUCUCUGGUACCACGAUAAGGAUCUUGCGCUUGGGUGGGGGGUUGAUGUUCCAGAUGCACUCCACACCAGCUGGGUAGUUGCCCGGGUAGUUGGGGGACUCAAUAUAGCCAGUGAACUCACCCAGCUCCCCACCACACUGACGAUCUGCAGCCAAACCCCAGUGGAUAAAACAAGACAGAGAAGGGAAGUCAGUGGGGAAGUGUGCUGGGGGAAUUGAAGAGUUCUGAAGUAGAGGUCAGACAUUUAUGGGAAGUCUGCGUUCUAGUUCAUCAUUAUUUUCCAAGCUCUGAGUCCAUCUUCCUUCCUGCCCUUUUAGUACCUUCUCUUCUCACUUCACCUGUCUCUGCUUCCUCAUUAACUGUCUCCAGGGAGAGGGUGUUACAGGGUCCAGCCUAGCAACUGGCCUUGAGAUUGAGUGAGUUGGGGAGAGGUGGAAGGUGGAGUUUUCCUGCUCCUCCACCCCCCAGCCCUGCUCCCUGUUGGUUUCACACCCCUCCUUUAGAUGUCCACUGCUCCCAGGCCUCUCUCCUCCCUUUUGCACAGCCUGGCUUGCCACGUACUCUUGCAUUGGGCCACACUGGUAGAGCCAUCAAAGUCUGUGCUUGUGUUUCCUGGACAGCGGCUGCAGAAGUUCUGACGGAAGUCGGGCUGAUAGGAGCCCAUGGCACAGCGAAUACAGCGGUGGAUGCUGGUGUUGUAGUAGUGCCCUGGGGAGCACUGGACUGUAGGCAAGGGAGAAGGGCAGGAAUCAAGAUGGUAGGCAGGUGGGAGUUACGGGGCAUGGGAUGGACAGGAUACAUUCAUCCUGGAGAAUCAGGAGAUCAGAUACAUCAAAGUUCUUUUCUAGGGUCUCAAUCUUUCCCAGUCAUGCCAGAAUUUAAGCCCACGGAAAAACAGAGUUUACAGAGUGGUUGGCUACAGUGCCAAUCCUUUUCUUUCAGACGCUGAGCACAGUGCCAAACCUAUAUAGAAACUCAUUUGGGAUAUGGAGGAGAAUAUGCCACCAGUUCUCCAAAGUGGAGGGGUAAGUGGGACUGUUAAUUAUUUCUCAGUUCCCAAGCUUGGGACUAGUGGAGGGGCAGGGUGGGUCCUGGAAGCAGGAUGGUAUGGUUGGUCAAGUAGCUGGGCCCAUUACUGGUUUGGAGAAAAUGGUGGGUCAGUGUCCCCUCUGGGAAAUUGGAGAGUUUUUUGGGAGUAGUUGGGGUUGGGGCAUCCCCCAGGGAGGUGAGUAGCUUACUCACCUUUGGUGUCACAGUCUUGGAAGGAAAUGGCCCCUUCAUGCUUGGUGGUGAGGCCCCCACCACAAGGGAAGCAUAGGGUCCGUCCUGCUUCAGGUUGGUAGGUGCCACGUGGGCAUGGCUGACAGGGCUUGAACCCAUCUACAGAGUGUUGGCCAGGUGGGCACUGACCUGCAAUGAAUCAAGGGCCCAACUCUGAUGGGGAUGGUCCUGAGUCAUCCCCAUGGGGUCACCCGAUCUCAGGGGACAAAGGUAUACAAACAGGAUGUUGACUAAGAGAGUGGCCUGGAGCCUGGGCCUGCCCUUUGGGAAAUCCCAUGCCCAUGGGCAUCCCAGUGCCCACCCUACCCCACUCUGUAUUGUUUGUUCCCCUGGCACCUGCACACGUGGUGACGUUGGUGGCUCCAAGAGGCCCGUGGGCAUCACUCCCAGGGCAAAGGUCGCAGGAGAGCUGCCCUUCUCUCUCCUGGAAGGUGCCCGCUGGGCAUGGCACACACUGCUCCGUCUGGCCGUGGUAAUACGUUCCCUGCGGGCAGCUGACUGAGGGAGAGUCGGCCGCGCUAGCCACCCACCCCCGCAUUUCCCACCACCCAGGCCUGGGACUCCCCUUCCCACUCCCCGCCACAACCCCCGAUUCAGGGAGAAUCUCUGUCAGGGAACAAACACAAUCCUACUUGGGGGGAUAGGAGGGUCAAAACCGUGUGCAGGAGGAUUGCUGGCCCCACCUGGCAUCCUUCUAGAUUUCAGCCUGGAACCAAGGAAGGGAGGACAGCGGGCAGGAGCAUCCUGGCUGCCUCAUAAUUUGAGAAAUGCAUCUGAGGCCACAAAGGGUCCUGCUCUGAGUCAGGCCCAAACUGGGUCUUUCCUACAUCCCUGCUCCCCAGUAAGCUCCCUUACCACACUUGGUCCCAGCACGGUGCUGCCCGGGCCUACAGGACUCCAUCGGCUCUGCUCGCUCCCCGGCUACCAGGCCCGGCUUGUGGGCCAGCUCAUAAUCAAGGCCUGCCAGGCGCAGCAGGAAGCGGUCCUGGUUGAUGGACUUUCUGAGCAUCUUCAGGGAUCCUUUCAGCCGCCGUUCCAUUCGCUGUCGGAGGCAGGGCAGCCCACAGCUGGCUGGUGGUGGAUGGCCGUGUGUAUCAGGGAGGAGAAAGAGUUGCUGUGAGCAGGAGGGCAGGGGAGCAAAGCUGGGAGCUAGGAGGGGCAUGGUAAGAGGGACUAGCUUUUAGGCUUGGCACCAGGCAGGGUCUGCCCCUAGUACAGGCUCCAUCCCUUCCUUUUGCUGCUGAGACCUGUGGUUUCCCCACCUCUGCCCUCCCCUUCCAGUCCUCUUCCCAACAGUGCCCCCAGUCCCACCUGUGGUUUCUUCGGCUCUGACCUCUGCCUCCAGUUCCAGGGUGAGCCUUGUGACCUCUUUGCCUGGAGGGGUCCGGGCCCGUCGGCCCUUGCCCUUCCGAGAGGAGUCACACUUAAGGUGGAUGAAGGUGACCUGGCAUUCAGAGCAGGGGGCACCACCUGGGAGAGAGGGCUUGUCAACCCCAGGGACAUCCCCUGGAAAGUUCUCACUCCCAGCCCAGACAGACCUCCCCAGAUCUCUAACUGUAACUAUCUCUCAAUCCUGUUUUAGUCUAGGGUCCUAAUUAGUUGGUGGAGGGGAAUAUUCUGGGACUUCCUUGGGUGCUAUGCCUACAGCUGCUUUUUCCUCUGCUCUGCCUAGAGUUCAGGGUUCUGGUGGGUUUUUGGAAGCAGAGGAGCUGAGGGGUAAGGAGGAUUUAGUGGCCAGACAGCCAACUGGAAUGGGGUCCCCAGUCCAAACCUGGCCCUGUGAUUCUGCCAGCCUCCUCUGUUUUGCCUUUGUUUCGCAGGUGCAAACGGCAUUUGGCAUCCUUGAUCUUGAAGGAGGCCCGUUGUUUAAUGGACAGCACUGCAGCCUCUAGAGGGAUGGUAGAAACUCAGCACAGUAUGGGAUGCCCAUGGAGGUCGGGGGUGCCGUAGGGGUUGUUGAGAAGCUGGGUAAUAAGCCAGGGGCUUGGCUGGGGGAGUGAGAUUAUGAAAGUCAAGGGGAUCAGAUGUUAGGGCAGAGGGAGUGAGGGAGCAGGGUUGGAGAAUUACAGGGCAAAAAAGAGGAUCCAGGAGAAAGGAAGGCCAGGGGAUUGAUGAAGAACAAAAAUAAGGGAUUAAUGUAAGAGAGUAGGGUGGGAACAGGGCUUCUGGGCUGGUGCUUACCAUGGCAGUGGUUGGAGUUGGUGCUGUUCCCAUUGUGGCCAGCUCGGGCUGGAGCAGCCCUGGGGCUGGGGGUCCCACAGCUCACCGUGAAGCCAUUCUCAGACUCUGAGAAAAGGAGCCUGUCACAGUUCUGACCUGCCUUCCCAACCCCCGCUGGCUGGAGGAAUCCAGGGGGAAUGAAGGAGCUGCCUGAACGGCCAGUCCUUCCUCUUUUCUCCUCCAAAGCUCUCCAGCACCCUCCUCCCAUGUACCUGGCAAAAAUCGGGCCCUGGAGGGACAGGUCAGGGCACAGGUGUCCUUCUUGCCAGACCGGUUGCAGCUGAGCAUGGCUUUCGAGGCCCCAGGACUGCCCUGACACUUCAGUGGCUCUAGGAAGGGGAGAGAGGCCUGAGCAAAUGAAUGCAUUCCUUUCCCUCAGUUGGGUAAUUUGGAGGAAUCAGCUACUUGCAUAACUAUUGUUGUACCCAUGGAGACUGAUGAUGGGAUUGUUUACUACAAAUUUCAUGUCUUUAACUCAAAAUGGCUACAUUCUCCACCCUUUCCACCUCACACCUUUCCCCAAUGUGAUACUCUAUGCUUUCCAGAACCCCAACUGCUCCCUGAAAUGGCAGUGUCAUCUUUGGCCAGCAGAGGGCACUGCCCACCUGUGCAAUCUUUGCCAUUCCAGUGCAGCCGACCCUGGCCUGCUGGGCAGGUACACUGGUAGCUGCCAGGAGUGUUGAUGCAGCCAAAGCGGCAACCUCCCCGGUUGAUGCUGCAUUCAUCCACAUCUGGGGGAAGGAGUAGGGAGACAGAAAAACAACGAUGGAGUUGGAGGAGGAGCCGGAGAGUAGGCAGUGAGUGAGGGCCUUUGGUUAGAGUUUCAGGUACCCUGCAUUACGCAAGAUGAAUAAGUUCGAGAGAUCUACUGUACAACAGUGUGCCUAUAGGCACAUAAAUACUGUAGUGUACACUUAAAAACUUAAGAGGGUAGAUCUCUUGUUAAAUAUUCUUACAAUUUAAAAAAGUUAAAAAGGCAUUCUAGGCACUGUAAGAUGACUACUGGCCUGAGAAGAGCUCAAACCUCCUCCAAUUAUCUCUGUCCCCAAAGGAAUGAUCGAGAAGGGGCCAAGCCAACAAGCUUUUUAAAGCCUUCCACUCCUCCCAACCAGUGAGACUGUCAUUUGGGAGCUGAGAGUGGGGGUUCAGGGACAGUUAUAGGAAUGGGAGAUAGGAAUUUUGGAGGCAGGAUGCUGUUUCCGCAGUCUCCCAGUUCUUCAAAAGCUGUCUUAAUUCCUCCUAUUUUGUCACAGCGGAUGCAGACAUGGUGCAUGCAUCCAGGGAUUGCCCAUAGCCACAAGCCAACACAAGGACCUGUUCAAUUGGAGGGUGAAGAGGUGAGGGGGCCAGGGUGGCUGGGGGUGCAAGCUUACUAGCUUACCCCCACAGUGGGUGAUACCAUACAACAGGUAGCCACGAUGGCAGAGACACUGGAAGCUUCCUGGUGUGUUGACACAUAUGUGGUCACAGGUUCGAUCAAAGGAACACUCGUCUAUAUCUGGAAGAGCAAAGAUUCAAGCCACUGAAUCUGUCUUGGAGCACUUGACCCUUGCUCAGGUGAAGGACCCAAGUGAGGGGCCUUGGCUUUCCCCCUUGAACUGAAGAGUUCCUAUUCAUGUCCUAGCUCUAGGACCAGUGAUUUAACAAUGCCAUUCCAUCUUCUCUGCCCCCUCUAUUUGAAGUCCUUGGAAUUAGGAACUGCAAGAUCUGGUGCCUUUAGGUCAGGGCCCACCAUGUGUGGUUAGGUACGUCCUACUCUGCCAAGGAUAUGAAUUGGGGUGAAAUCCAUCCCUCAGUCCUUGCCAGGCUGAAUGCUUUGAUAUGGAGCUAGUCCGCUGAGGGGAAAGAGUACCAUUUGCUAAUUUGCAGGAUGACACUGCCUCUAGAGACUCUGUGUGAUAUAUGCAAAAAUCAAGGAGUCCUGGGCCUGCCUCUUCUUGAUCUCUCUCUGUCUCUUUCUCUUUCUCUUUCCUGUCUCUCUCUCUCUUUCCUGUCUCUGUUUCUUCCCUGUUCAGGGGAUCUGUGGCCAUUAGUAACACCCUCUCUUCUGGGAUUGAGUGUUCUUAUAAGGGGACAAAUUGGAACCAAAACUAGGAACAGGCCCUCAGGGAAUUACCUAGAGGAGGGGCAGGUGGGCAUUUGACCUAACAGGCUAGCCCUUAGUCUCCAGCUGAUGGCCAUUCCCUGAAAGGUUGGUGGGUAAGGGUUAUCUCUUUCCUGUCCCUCAGGACGGGGGGUUGGGGGGGUGCGGGGCAAGGAGAGGUGGAGGGUCUAAAGGGACUCACUGAAAACGGGCAGCCCUUUAGGGAGGAGGAGGAGCUGGGAAAGAGGCCAGGCAGGGAGGACCUCCAGGAGAGCCAGUGAGGCUGGGUAGCUGAUGGGGGAGGGCUGGGGGCCAGGCAAGGGGCUGGACUGGGAGAGAUCUGGAGAGACUCAGGCCUGAGGCAGCUUUCAGCACUAGUAAGGGAAAGGGGGGCUGGUGAAUGGCUUCCUUCCUGAGGUCAAGUUCCCCAAGCUGGUGGCAGACAGGACCCAGGCUACUCACCCCUGGUUGGGGGAAGGGGCAGGGAGGGCAGCCUUUCACUUCACUCUUAGCAUACCUGUCAACAGUUCUUCCCAGCAGGAAACCUCUCAACUCUGGCUGGCUGACCUGCUGCCCUAGCCUCCCCCCUCCUCUCGCAGCUGUUGGGCCAAAAGACACAAAGAACGAGCCCAGUCCUCCUCGUCCCCACUCCUUGUGACCAGGGGAUAUGGACCUAAUGAAUCAUCAUUUUCAGUAUGGCUACCCUGCCUUUUUCCUCCACCCUUUCCCCCCAUUCUCCCUCAGACCUGGCUAAUUAAAAGGAAGGGAAACAGAAUGCAUAAUGUGGGUAACUAUACUGUAAUAACAGUUAACACAAAGUGUUUCCAUUUGCCAAGCACUGUUCUAAGUACUUUUUAUGUAAUCACUCUUUUAAUCACAACACAGUAUGAGGCGAGCACUAUGGAAAACUGAGGCACAGAGACAUUAAGUGACUUGUCCAGGAUCACAGAGCUAGUAGGAGACAGGGCUGGGAUCUGAACCCAGCUUCAGUCCUCCUAACUAGUAUCCUACUCUCCCUUUGACCAGUACAGCCUUUCGAGGGGUAGACAUCAUUUCCCCAGAGCCCACUGGGAAGGUCUGAGGAAUGUGGGGUAAGAAGGUUAUGGAACACACCUGUGACCUCAUGCACACACACAGUCAGGGCUCAAAUAUCCUUCCAGACCCAGGAGCAAAUGUGAAUCGCAUGUCCAUUAACUAAGAGGGUUAGGGACCCAUGGGGGAUAGGAAUGAGAGUAGGGAAACAAGGUGGGGUAGGGGAAGGGGGCACUAAGGAACUGGCUGGACUUCUCUGUCCCUUGAACUGAGAUGAAACAGGCAGAUAGGAGACAACCCUUAGCUAUGUCCUGGGUUCUUCAUAAGAAGGAGGUUGAGGAGGUGUCAUCCCCUAAUAGGCACCCUAUCUCUGGUCCCAACCUCAGCCCCUUACCAAAGGUCACUCUGCUUCUGUCCUCUCAAAGUCCUUACCUUUGCACGUCUUCCUGUCUGGCUGCAGCAUGAAGCCCACAGGGCAGGUGCAGUGGACACCAGUCGCUGCAUCAUGGCACUUACUGUCACAGCCCCCGUUGUUGACAGCACAGGUCUCUGUUUAGGAGGGAAGUGGGGGAUGGUAAUGAGGUUACAAGCCUGGAGGAGUCCCAAACUCUGAGGGUAGUGGAGACCACAGAGGCCCGAGGGAAGGCCUCAGCUGCCUCUCUGUGCUUUAGAAGGAGCAUUAAGCCAAGGGAGGCUCCCAGCCCCUUUCCUCCCAUCACUCCCAACCCCCAUCCCCUCACAAGUACAGCCAAGCAGUCCACUUCCCUGCCCCCUACUUGAUUGAAACAAGGUGGACAGCAGUGAGGCAGGUACAAGCCAGAGCUGUCAGGCAGGAAUGUGCCGAGGGGGUGGAGGAGGUGGGGCGGGGGGCAGUAGGGAGGGAUGGGAGCUAAGUGAGGGUGGUUCUGGCUGCCAGGGAACCAGAAGGGACAGAUAGGAGUUUCUUCCUCUUUCCACUAUGUCUUUGGUGGGUGGGUGGGGAUUGUGGUGGGACAAUCUUAUUGUAAGUGGAUUGGAAAGAAUGAGCCGGGCCAUUCCUAAGGCAACUGAAGGAUACCCAUCAAUUUAUCUUCCCCUUCCCCGCUGCCUAGCUGUCUUAAGAAAGAUCCCACUUCCAGGAUCGACUGACUGCUCAUCCUCAGAGGAGGUAGCACAUACUGGGUUAAUCUACCUUCAACUCCUCCCAAACCCUCCUUUUAGUUCUAGAUGGAGAUAAGCUGGCUGUUUUGUUGUUUUACUCUGCUAAUGGGGAGAUGUUGUAUAGGAGAGGGGAGAAGCAAAAGAAAGAGAAGAAUCCAGAGGAGAAGGAAGGGUGUAAAAAGGUUAGUGAAAGAGUUAGAGAACCUCAGAGCUAGAUAAGACCUAAAUCCUUAUUUUAGCUAAGUCUCUUAUGCUGCUCCCUCUUAACUGGUAAGUUUUCCCUUUCACUAAAAGGUCAGAGUAGGAGGAGUGUCGAUGGGUCACUCUCCCUAUUUUCUGAAUUCACAGCAGGAGAAAAACAGGUUUAAAUGGUAGCUUGGGAAAGUCAGAUGUGUCCAAGGAAAAGCCAUUAGUUCAAACAGUGAAGGCCCCUGAUACAGAGACUGUGGAGGUGGUGCAUACUGUCCUCUUGGGGUGACUAGAAUUCUCCCAUUAGAGAGAAAGAAUCCCAAGACCUCCACUAGGGAAGAUAGAAGAAUGGUUCUCAGAAUCAAGGGAAUUGAAUAAGACCAGUACUGGAUGUACUGUCAUCUUCUUAAGUCUCUGACUCCCCACACUCAGGCCCAACUCUUGUCACCAAUGAGAACAGGAAGGCCAGGGCUCCAAAAGAAGCCUAACUCUAUGGGUCCCUGGCCAUGCCCUGGUCCCUCAAAUGCCCAUGUGUGGAACAGCCCAACCUGGAGUGGGAUAUCGUCUGUGCCAUUUCCACUUUAGUCUCUCCUGAGGCUCUCCAAGACCAUGGGAGGAACCUAGUAGGGAACAUUGAGUUCAGGUUCCAAGGCUAGCCACCCGCUAAAGAGUGCUUUUAGCAUAAGAAGAGGUCCACUAAGCCCAGGAGCAGGGGGAGGGGCACAGAGAUCUUAUGCCAAGGCCAGAUAGCUUCUGAAGGAUGUAGGAUACGGAAUAGCAGAGCUGGCACAAUGUCCAUCCCAGGCUGGACAGAAAGCUGGGCAUAGCCGCCCACCUGUGCAGGACGGCAUUCUUGAGAGCAGGGUGGGGCAGCAGGACCAUAUAGUCUCACCCCUUUGCUCUCUAGGUCACAAUAUUAAAACCACAAGUUACUCUGUGCUUAUGCUGUGCCAGGCACUUGCCAGGUAGAUGCUCUACAUGCACUAUCUCAAGCAUUACAACCCUAAGGAAGGACUGUUAUUUUAUAGAAAAGUAAACUGAGGAUCAGAGAGGAAAGUAGCUUGCCUAAGGUCAUACAGUUAGAAAGUAACAGAGCCAGGAUUCAAACUCAGGUCUGCCUGAACACACAUGCCAUGCUCUUAGCCAUUACGGUAGGAGAGAAUGGUGAGUGAUGCUGGGACUGUGAACUAAUGUGGGUAAGAACCCAAGAAAGAAGCCCCAAGGAGGGGAUGGCAUCUAAUCCUAUCGCACCCCUAUCUCAGGUGGCACAGUGGGCAUGACAGGGAAGAUGAGGCUGGCUGGGUAGAGGGGGGUGGGGAGCAGAUGGCUGGGAGUGGGGUGGGGUGUUAGAAGGUGGGUGUGGGAGGAGACAGCAGAAGAGGAAGGGCAGAAGGAGAGUGACAGGAACAAAGACGAGACCAACAUGAAAGCUCCCGGGCCAGCUCUUAGGGACUCAGGUUUCUUGUCACCCAAUGGGCCCAGUGCCCUGGCUGCCAGGAUAGCCCUGCUGGCAAGUUGGGGCCCAGUCAGGCUGGGCCCAGUGGGCAUGCAGUUAGUGGGAGCCCCAGCGGGUUAGCCCUUCCCCUAGCAAGCCAGUGAGAGCAAGCGGAGAGAGCAGACAUAUUUACCAUUAGAAACGGCUUGAGUGGGGAUGUGCUGCUCUAGCCGCCUUUCCCCUGUUUGACAUUGUAAAAAAGCUGUUUAGGUGCUGGGCAGAAGCCACUGUGGCCCUCUGGCCCCGGACCCCUCCCCACCCUCUCCUCCCCACUGCCAGCCCAAACCAGUAGCCCCAAAUGAUGAGCCCUGGGACCCUUAUGACAGCUUCACUCCUCAUCCUUAUCCUGUCUGGUGGUAUCCCCAAAGAUGCCAAGCUCCCCGCAAGUGACUGAAAAACUGAAACAGUCUCAGAAAGGGCAACCAACCAUGUGCCCAGUACCACAGAGCAUGCUCAAGCCUAAGCUGGGAUGCACCCUCAAGUCUUACUAACCACAAAAUCCCAAAUCCCAAAGGGUGCCGCCCUUUCUGCUAAACUAUACUGCCUUCUCAGUCUUCCCACCGAAUCUGAAUGUCCUGACGGCCCCAGGCAAUGAUGUUUCCUCUUACCAGGGAUGGCCAGAAAAAUUAGAUAUAUGGCAAGGUAAAAUAAGUUCUAUUGGAGAAGAGGAAGAGGAACUAGGAAAGAAUAUAGCUGUAAACCCCAGAAUAGCCUCAUUUGGUCUUUUCUGCCUCAUUUGGCCUUUUCUGCCUCAUUUGGCCACAGCCCAGUGGUGGAACAGGUCUUGAGUUAGAGAAGAGCCCAAGCUCAGUAAGGGUGUUUUCAGAAGCAACCAUGUCUGGAACUUUGAACAGAAAUAAAUCAGAGAGGGAUCAGACCUUCACAUCCCUGGCCCCUGACUCAUGCAUCUUUUCUUUGGGCACUGCAAACAAUUUCUUUUGAGAGACUGGGGAUGUGUGAAUGUGUCCAGGAGGUGGUGAGAGCUUUGAAAAGCAAAAUAAUUAGACCUAUGAGUAAAAAAUGAAAGGAGCUGAAACACACCAGCCCAAAGAAGGCAAUGAGAAGAGCCUAAAAAUGUUCUGGGGUCUUUGAAGAGUUAAUUCAGAGGGAAACGUGGCAGGGGAGAUUUUAAUUAUAUAGGGACUUUAGAAAUGGAUGUGCCAGUCUCUGGAGCAAGUGCCUGAGGGAGCCCUGUAAGAGCAUCAUCUGCUCUCCAGUUCCUAUUCCUGCAGUGAAAGGGACAGGUCCCUGGAAAGUCUAGUUCCUCAGUUAAUGUCAUGUCUCUGAUAUACAUAACUUCAUACACAGUGACUGGAUUCACACACCCCCAUCCUCAGCAUGCCACAGCCCACCAGAUGGACAGUCAUUCAUAAACACCUAUGCCCACACAGCAAGCUCAUGCCCUGCCUGGCUAAAGACACAGCCUCUCUCUCAGCCAAACCUCUUCCUUUCAUUUCCCCCUUCUCCAAGGGGAAACCUUGUUCCAUCAUCCUUCUCAGCACUAAAGACCUAAAGGCUAAAGGAAUUAGGAAUUAACUUUAAGGAAUUAAACUCAUCUAGGGUACCUGAAAAUAUGUGAGAUAAGGCCUAAGAAUUCAGGAAGAGGGAUCCAGGUAUUAAGAGGACCUCAAAUCAAGGUAAGAGAUGGAAGGCUGGAGUUGGUGAGGAAGAAACAGGGUUGCUGGUGGAGCUGAGAGGGAGUACCACUGGCAUCUGGAGGAGAGAGAAGGAAAUGGGGGGUAAGGUGAGGUGAGUAGAAAGGGGAGUUGCAGGAGGAGAGUGAGGAGAGAAGGAAUAAAGAGGAAAAAGAUACCUGGAGCCAGGAAACCCCAUCUGUCAGUCAGUUCAGGGAUGGUUGUUCCAGGAAGGAGCACUCUGUCCCACCCUCAGUUGCAGAGUGGGGACACUGGGCUUUGAUAAUUCCUCUGUUAUCACACUAGUCAACCAAGGGCCUCUGGUCAGGCCUAAGCAGAUGCAUUUCCCCAGAUCUCUUCCCACUUCUCAACUACAGCCUUGGUCAAUAAGCAACUCUGCUAAUUAUUCCCAGUUUGGCAACACUUUGUCCUGGGAUGAAGAGGGUGGUGAGGCUCCUGGAACAGGGUGGUAAAACCACUGGGAUGGGGAGGGGAAGAGGGCUGGGGAGCCCUUCAGUCUCUCUUUGAGUUGUCCCUUACUAGACCUGGCAUUUUCUGGGUCUUAACUCCCUCACCAGUCCCUCUGUGCCCAGCACCUGGGCCCCAUGCACUCCUCCACUUCCCUGGUUCCCAAAGGGUCCCACCCCCACCCCAUCUCAGGUGGACUGAGUUCUCCCCUGGCCUCACCCACCGAUGCAUGUCUUCCCGUCGGUAUGGAGCACAAACUUGAUAUGGCAGCCGCACCGGGGACCCUGCUCUGUGUCAUCACACGUGUGCUGGCAGCCGCCGUUACCAUAGUUGCAUGUCACUGUGCACAGAGAGGACAGGGCCCUGUCAGCUUGCUCCUCCCUGCAUCCACAGUUUUCCACAAUGUGGGUACUGGCCCCCUUGCCUAGUUGCCUCCCCCAUACUCCCUUUUCCUCCCAGCCCUGUCCUCUUGCUCCUGAAGCCCUAUACCCUUCCUCUAUGUUUUCACCCCCGACCCCACUGCCCCACCUGCCAUCCCAAUUAUCUCACAUUUACAGUCCCGUUGGUUCUUGGUAAGCUCAAAGCCAGGACGGCAUUCACAGGCAAUACCCCCCUUGGGUGUCUCCCGGCAAAUGUGGGCACAGCCGUGGUUCUUGUUCAUGCAAUUCAUUCCUUCUAAAAGAGAAGAAAGGGGUGUGAAUGCUCUGUACCCCUGGAUGUCUAGAAAAGAAAAACUACAGGGGGCAACUGGGGACCUAGGGAACUGGGAGAAUUCUACUGAGGUUGAAUUCAACACGAGGGGACUGACUCUCCUUGUCCCAGGCCUCCUGUCUUCCCCACAGACCUGGGUGCUCAUGAGCAGAGCACAGAGCUGUUCUGAAUGAUGUAUAACUAGCUAGCUAUUGAUACUCAUCCCAACGAAUGAUCACCCUUUCCUUUAAACAACCAAAACAUUGUGUAUAAUAGGUGUCCAGCACUGUGCUGGAGAUGGGGUGGAUUUAGGAAGGUCCUAGAAAAAUACAAGGUGUGAUCACUCCCCUCAAAGAGCUUACAGUCAAACUGGGAAGAAGAUCAGUAGCAAUCAGAUCUACAAUGAGAGUGGAGGGUAAUUGGUAUAGAUAUUUACUAUGCAAUUUUAUUCAACAAACAUUUAUUAAACUCUCACUACACGCAGGGCAGUAUGUUAGGUGCUGGGGAUACAACAAUGAGUUAGACAUAGUCCCUGCCCUCAGGGAUGUCACAGUCUAGUGGGAGUGGGGGGCAUGAGUCAUAGAAACAGCCAAUAUAAACCCAUUAUUCCUGCCUGACCCUCCCAUGCCAAUCCAAGGAAAAAGAUAUGGUGAGGCCCUCUCAGAUAGGCAGCAGCUUAGAGAAGCUCAGCCAUCUACAAUUAGGGACAACAUCCACCUCAGGUCUGGACACAGAGGAUACUCCAUAGUAGCCUUAAUCCCAUAUUGAUCCCAACCUCAAAGUAAUUUCCCCAGAUUUUGCCCUAACAGGGUGUCUGUUCCUAGAUCCUUUAGGGUGUGAUUGAGUUGAAGGACAAGAGAAGAAGGAGCUAGCUGAGUUGAGAAUGGAGGGUGAGACUUAGGGGCUGCUGAGGGACAGCUGGGAAGAGAAGCCUGGGGAGGGCAGGGAUGGGGCCAUCCCAGGUCAUGGGCUGACCUUCUGGCCGCUGGAUACAGGUAUGCUGGUUGUCGCUGAGGAAGAAGCCUUCCCGGCAGUGGCACUCAUAGCUGCCCAUCAUGUUGACACAGCUCUGCUGACAGCCGCCGUUGCCCUCGGCACACUCGUCCACAUCUGUGCAGGAUAGGUAGUCAGUGGGGUCAUGGGGUACAGGCAGGGUCCAGGGUAUAUCCCAAGACUUCAGCACCAAAGGCAGUCUUAAGAACUACUACCCCCUAAGCCCAGCCUUAAGCCAGGAAGUCCUCACACCCUUGUCAGCUAAUAUUUCACUAAGUGUAAAAAGGCUGCCCUGAGGGCAGAGCUGGGAAGCUAAGCAAGUGGGGGAAAAGGGGACCUUUGAACCUCAAAUGUCACCUAGGUGAAGCCAUGCCUCCCUUUCCCUCACCUGUGUAAACUGGGUAUGAAGACAGAGGACACCAGGAAAGAAGCCAGAGAAAGAGGAACAGUGAUGAAGGUAAGGAUGGAGAUUGGUCACAUUGGUCGGAUAGGUAACUGGGGGUUGCAGCUGGUUGCAAUGAGCAGCCAGGGAAUGUAGGAACCUGGGAAGUGGCUCUGGGUGCAGGCAGAGCUAUGGCCAUGGUGCUGAGGUUGGAGGGGCAGGGUGGGGAAAGGCAGCUGAGCCUCACCUCCUUGUGGAGCAGGGACCAUUUCUGUGGACAGGCCACAGCCCUGUCCUUCCUCCCCUCCCCCCUGUGCCUGGGCUUGCUGCCAUAUUCCCUAGCCUUUCUCCUAUUUUGGCUUAACAAAACAAAGUCUGACAACUUGGCGGGGAGGGAUCUGGGGAGAGCUGCCAGGCCACACCCUAGAUGGUGGGGGUGGGGGGCAGGGAGAACAGUAGGCUCUCACCCCCAAAUCACCACCCCUAGGUUCUAGAGCCAAGCUCACCCUGGAGCCCCCAAUUCAACACCUUGAUUCCAUCUCUAUGCUAGCUACUGCCCUCCCAAGUCCAUGGCCCUUCUCAGUUUGCCUUGGCCCAGGAGGCAUCACGUAGAUUGGUUGUCAAAUGGAGCAGCUAGAAUCUGGGCUCCUGAGGGCUUCAUCUGCCCCUCUCUUCCCAUCCUCUCUGCUGAGAUCCUGCAACCUUCUCUUCCCCUUCUGGCCAGGGCAGAGAGGCCCAGAUCCAGCUGGCUCUUGCCCAAGAGAUGCACCUGUUGGAAGAGCUAAGGUGUACUUUCCUGUGCUUUGCUCCUGUCUCUACCCUGUCUUUUGCUGUUCUCUUGACUUCUCCCCAUCCCUGUCUUCCUGCUCUUGCCACAUUCUACAUGCCAUCCUUCUGUCUGCUCCCUUACUAUCUAACCUUGUGGCUUUGCUACUCUAGCCAAGCUCUUUCCUCCAAUUCUCAGUGGGGAAGCUAAGGCCCAGAGCAUGGACAACUUUCUCAAAAUUCCCCUAAGAGCCAAAGGUAGUAUUGAGACUUUGAACCCUAACCCUAGGUAAUCUUUGUCCCUUGACCCUCUCUAUACCUAAUCAUUCUCUUGUCCCUCUGGUUGGUUCUCCCCAAAACACUUAUAGGGAAAUGAGAUGUGGUGACAAUCAGGGGCCUAGAAAAGUCAAAGGCAGCCAAAGAACUCAGAAGCUUAUGUGCAUGUCCUGUAGGCAACUCACUGUCCUGGUCUAAGUGCCACAGCUUCCCUUCCCAAAGGAGUUUCAUAAGAGGCCCUCAAGGGUGACUGGGCAGAUAUGAGGCCCUUCCCUGGAAGCUAAAAUGGUAGGAGAGGUGACCAGGGCUGGGAUUAAGGGCCCAGCAGAUAUCAGGGUUUGGAGGCCAGGGUUGGGUGUAGAAACCUAUAGCCUGGGUCCAAUGAUGGGUUAUGACUAGGUUUGGAGGCAGCUCUGCAGUAAGGAGGCUCUUCUCAGCCAAUAGGACUUAAGAGAAUUCAUCUAUUUGGUCAAUUGGUGGGUGAGGACCAGCCCAGCCUGCUUUUCUGGGCAUCAUUCCUUUUGUUUCUCUUCCUUUCCUGGUCCUUUAUGCUUCUAGUGCCUGUUUUCUGUUGUGGCUACAGGGUGAAGUAAUUUGGGAGAAGGCCCUGGGUUCAAAUUUCAAAUCCUUUUCUGCUAUGAGCUUCAGAUUUUCUGCUUGGGGAAGAGUCUGACUUGGUCCCAGUAAUUUUCCAAAAUGACAGAGACCAAAGUUGAGUUCAGUUCCUUAGAGAUUCUCUUAUCUCUGAUCCAGCUCCUGGGACAAAGGAGAUCAGUGAGGAGAGGGUGAGACUGGAGAUUGCAGGAAGAACUGGGAGAAAACAAGCCUGUAAGGGUCAGAGGCUUCCUGGGGCAUAGGGAUGCACUGUCGUCAUCAUCAAAAACAUUCUUCCCAUUACUGAGCUCCUACCAUGUGCUAAGGAUUGUACAGGGCUCUUUUCAUAUGUUGUCUUGUGGUGAUCCGCACAGCAGCCUUCAAGUGGGUUAUUACCACCCCAUUCUAUUUUAUUGUUAUUUUUUGAGAUAAGAUUGCUCGAUCUGGAGCGCAGUGACACAAUCACAGCUAACUGCAGCCUCGACUUCCUAGGCUCAAGCCAAGGAAGAGCUCCCAAGUAGCUGGGGACUACAGGUAUGCACCAUCAUGACUGACUAAUUUUUAUUAUUAUUAUUUUUUGUAGAAACAGGGUCUCACUAUGUUGCCCAGGCCUGUCUUGAACUCCUGGGCUCUAGCAGUCCCUCUGCCUCGGCCUCCCAAAGUGCUGGGAUUACAGGUGUGAGCUACCACACCUGGUCCCACCCCCAUUUUAGAGAGGAGAAAGAUGAGAUUUCCAGAGAUUGGCUGAUUUGCCCAAGACCCAAGGCUAGUAAGCAGCAGAACCAAGAUAUCUGUGUGGAGCCAAAUCAGCUUCCUACCAUGCCUCACCACUGGCUAAACCCACUAUUCCCAUCUCCUGGCCCUUGCCCUAGGAGCAUUUCGUAGCAGCUUUUCCUCUAAUGUUUUUCAUCCAGCAGGAUUUUUCAUCCUAAGUGGCCAGUCUCAAAGGGGAGGCUGACCUUAUUCUCUUGUGAAUGUAGCUCUUCUUGAUCACUCUCUCCUCCUUCCCUGGGAAAUAGGAAAUGCUGAAAAGAUCUCUUUCUCCACAAGACAUCCCUCCACCAAAUCCCCUCUCCUUUGCUUACCCAGACAGUUGUGUCCGUCAUGUGCCAGGUGGAAUCCAUCAUAGCAGGUACACCGGUAAUUGCCAGGGAUGUUGACACAGUCAUGCACACAACCUGCAUUAUCCUCUCGCUCGCACUCAUCCACGUCUGUGGGCAAAGGGAAGCUGAGACAGCUGAACCCACCUGCGAACCCACUGUCCACCCCCAGACUCAGCCUUAUGGUUGUGUUUACAUAGUUAUGUUCAUGGCCUAUAAGCCAUUUAGCAUUUUUCUGUUUUCAUUUAAACCUAAGUCAUGAACAUUUUCAGGUCUCCAUCCAGUCUUUCUAAUUACCAUUGUACAUGGUUGCAGAAUAUUAUUUUUCUAUUUUUUUCUCUAUUGUUAGAGAUUUAGAUUUCUUUAAUUUAUUUUACCAUCAUAGAUAAUGCAUCAAAGAACAUCUUCUCCCAUGUAUUAUUUUGUUACUUUGAAUAAGUCCCCAAGAGUAAAAUUCCUGGAUCAAAGGAAAUACCUUUUAAGAUUCCUGGUAGGUAUUACAAAAUUACUUUUCAAUUUAUAAUGCAACUAGGAAUUAACAAGUGUACCCUGUCCACUAAAGUCUCACCAACACUGAAGCUCAUAAAUUUAAUAUCUCAAGGCUACUUUAAUUUGCAUUGAUUUAAUUAUGAGGGGAAGAUGUGUUUACAUUAUGAACUUCCUCUGAAGCACACUUUCUGUUCCCAUCCAUUGUGGAUGUGGUGUAAGGGUCUAAAGAUAAAGGUUCCAAUGUCAGGGAACCUCAGGUCUUAGUCUUAUGAUUUUCAUGCUCCCACCCCAGCCAGGUUGUGGGCUGUGAACUGUCCCCACCAGGGCCUCUGCUAGCCUGCAUGGUGCCUUUGUGCAAAUUAGAAAAUGGCACCCUCUCUGGGAAGAUGCAGUUGCCCCCCUCACCACCCCCCCACCACUUGACCAGUGGAAUUUCUAGCCUUGAUGUGAUGGAGAGUGGCCAACUGAGGGCAGUGGCACUGGUUUGCCUUCUUCCACAGGUCCCUCUCCUCCAGGUGCCCUUCCAGCCUCACCUUUGCAGUGUUUGCCGUCCCCUGUGUAGCCAGACUUGCAGAUGCACUUGUAUGACCUCGGGGUGUUCUGGCAGAUAGCAUCGAUGUGGCAGUUGUCAGUCCCCUCCACACACUCAUCCACAUCUGGCAGGGGCAGAGGGGGCACAUGAGAACCUCUGUUGGCACCUCUUAAGGGGUGUCUUGAAGGUGGGCUUCCAAGGGCAGAAUCCCCUCUUCUCUAAAACAGAGGCAGUGACCCCCUCCAGAAACAGGUGCUGUCUCACAUCUCUCUGAUUUCAGAGUAGGCAGACACUGAUUUUGGGAAUUCAGAAGGAACCCCCACUGCCCUCAAAAAUACUAAAUUCACAGUGACAGCUAAAACUCCAUCAUUCGAAACACUCCUUUUUUUAUUUGAAAACAAACAAAAAACCCUUAGAGUGGGUAGUACACUUAACUUGAUUAGGAAUAAUCAACUUAAAGUGAAUGAGUUUACGGAGAAGGCUUAGAGGGAAAGUUAAGGGAAAAGGCAUGGGAACAGUGGUCUCUGGGAAGGUGGCAGGGUCCAGCAAUCACUAGUAAAGGAGGAAGAAAGGGGGAUGGGGCAUCUGAGGGAUCUUCAUCUGUGUCAUGAUUCUGCUUGAGACCAGGCCUGCUUCCACUUGCCCACCAUGGAGCCAAGAAGCUUUAGAGGAAAAAUGUUCCAUCCUGGAUGAUUUUCCUCGGCCCCUGUGCUGCCAACAAUGGAGACAUCCAGAGCUGGCAGAGGUUGGCACCAGCUACCUGAAGCCUAAUAAGUGCAGCCCUUCAGGCCCUAAUCCCCAGUGUUUAGCCCUCUGUCUCCUGGCCCUAGCUCUAACAAUAGGUGCUACACACACAGCUAUACUUGAAGGAAGAGGCCACUCACCAUCUAGCAAAAAAGAGGAUGGUUAGGAAAGGACAUAGAUGAUGCCAGGCGCGGUGGCUCAUGCCUGUAAUCCCAGCACUUUGGGAGGCCAAGGCAGGUGGAUCAUGAGGUCAGGAGUUCGAGACCAGCCUGACCUUGAUGAAACCCCAUCUCUACUAAAAAUACAAAAAUUAGCCAGGUGUGGUGAUGUGUGCCUGUAAUCCCAGCUACUCAGGAGGCUGUGGCAGGAGAAUCGCUUGAACCAGGGAGGCGGAGGUUGCAGUGAGCUGAGAUCGCGCUAAUGCACUCCAGCCUGGGCGACAGUGAGACUCUAUCUCAAAAAAAAAAAAAAAAAAAAAAGGACAUAGAAAAGAGUCCAACUUCUGAGGCAAUAUUAUGGUGCCCUUAAAUCUGAACUGAAAUAGAGAAACAUGUUAUUCAGUUGAAAACGCCUUAUUGAGUGUGUUUGUGAAAGACACUAUAAUGAUAGCUGUGGAGGCUCAAAGGUGACUCAGCCCAGCCAAAAGGAGAAACAAAAAACAUGGAGCAGAAUGUGGUACAUGCCCUGAAGACAUGAGAGAUAAGGUGAGGGGGUCCUCCACCCUGCACAUCAGAGUCAACUCUCCUAGGAGAUGUCCAAGCCACAACCCCAGAGAUUCUGGUCAGAUAGCCUGGACUGGUGCCGGGCCAUCAGUAUUUUUCUAAAGCUCUUCCAGUUAUUCUAAUGUGUAGUCAAGGUUGAGAACCUGUGUUACGGGGCAGAUCAGAGGAGAAAGAGAUUACUUCCAGCUGGAAACUGGGAAACCCAAAAUAGUGUCUUAAGUAGCAGCCUGCAAGUGAGUGAUCACUGAAUGGGAGGCAUUACUCUCCUGUGAUCCCACAACUGAGCACAGAAAGGAGAUGAGAUUUGACACCAAGACAAUUUGAUAUCCAAGUGUGAUCUAUGGGCCAUAGAAUUGCCUAGGUUUUAUUAAAAUGCAGAUUCUCAGGACUCAUUAUAGCCUUUUUGAAUCCAAAUCCUUAAGUGAUUAUUUUUACUGAGUGAAUGGAUGCAUGGACCAGUAUUCUCUCCAAUUUAUAGAUACCCAGAGUCCUAGCUUGAGACAGUUAUCUGUCCUCCGCUUUUAUACUCUGAAACUUCCUGGGGCUAAGAAGAGAACUGAAAUCCCCAAACACCCUGCCUCAAAUCUCACAGGUUUCCGUUCAGCUCUUCAUUCUACCCUUCAACUCCUAUGCAGCCAACCAUCAUACCAGUUGAUUCUAAGUGCUGGGAGCCUCUGUCUACACUUACUCUCCACCUCGCUCAGGCUCCAUAGGCAUGGUGUCUACCUGCUGGCCCAUCCUGGGAAGUCAUCCCAACGUGACAGAAUGGAAAAGAGAGGGCAUGGAAGACUAGUUCAUAGGUAAGGGCAAGAGGGACCUCGCAGAUGGUAAGGUGCUCUGUGGAGAAUCAGUUUGUCCAACUGAUAAACAGAAAACAGUACAAAGAAAUGUGCUAUCACAGAACGAUCUUAAGCACUGGAACCAGUCAGUCCCAGAUUCAAAUCCAGCUCUACCCUUCUCUAGGGAUGGUUUUCUUAUUCUCCAUCUCCUCCCCCUUAAAAUGGGGAUGAUAAUACCUCCUCAUGAGAGGCUGUGAGUAGCUGAUGGGAUAAUUUGUGUAAAUUGGCUAAUAAAGUAUCUGGUAAACAGUAGGGUCCCAAUACAGGAAGCUUGAGAUGGUAUUAAAUCACUGGUCAGGCAAUAGAUGCUCGAGACAGUAUGACAGCCACUAGCCACAUGUGGUUAUUUAAUUUAAAAUUCACUUCCUCAGUUGCACUAGCCACAGGCCAAAUGCGCAAUAGCCACAUGUGGCUAGUGGCUACCAUGGCGGAAAGCAUAGAUAUGGAACAUUUCCAACACCACAGAAAUAGCACUGCUAUUAGCACACCACAGGAUAGCACUGCUCUGGGGUUCUGAAUAAGAGAUACUCCCUGGGUCCAGCAGCACGGAUACUGGUCUGGAACUGCUCCCCUGACCAUAUCAGAGGUAUGUGCCUGUGACUGAAUCAGCUGGUGCUUCACUAGAGACUGUGUCAGACUAUAUGGGCUCCCAAUUCUUUCCUUUGCCUCCCAUUCAGUGCUCACCAGUACUAGAGUGGAUCUUGAUGCUGAUCACCACAAACCCAGGCCUCCCAGCAGAUUCUUUUUUUUUUUUUUUUUUUUUUUUUUGAGAUGAAGUCUCGGUCUGUCACCCAGGCUGGAGUACAGUAGUGGUGUGAUCUCGGCUCACUGCAACCUCUGCCUCCCAGGUUCAAGCUAUUCUUCUGCCUCAGCCUCCUGAGUAUCUGGGAUUACAGGCAUGUGCCACCACACUUGGCUAAUUUUUGUAUUAUUAAUAGAGACAUGGUUUUGCCACAUUGGCCAGGCUGGUCUCGAACUCCUGACCUCAAGUGAUCUGCCCGCCUUAGCCUCCCAAAGUGCUGGGAUUACAGGCGCGAGCCACUACACCUGGCCACAGAUUUUUUAGACCCCUCCUACAGCCAGACUUCUCCCACCAUCUAACUAACCCCUCUCCCUUACCUCCCUGCUCACAAUGCUUAUCCCUCUCCAGCAAAGAGUCUCUGCUCUGGAAGACAUUAUCUCUUCCUGUUCCCUCUACAAUACCUAACCAUCCUAUUCCUUUCUAUGCAUUUGCGUAUUUUCGUUAUUCACAUUGCAGAUGCAUUCCUCAUUUUUCUCUUCCAGCCACACUAUGCUCAGCUUUCCAUUCCAGCUCAAAUUUUUCUUCCCAAAAGCUCUUCCUUGUAAGCCCCGUUCCUGGUGAGUUCCUGGUCCAAGGGGACUGUUCUCCUCAGUUCAUUUACAGCCGUCACUGAAUUGCUCUGCUAAUACUUUAAAGCGUGUUCAGCUUUCCUCACCUGGCUGGGUACCUGCUGAGGAAGAUGUCCCUUCAAUGUUUGGUUGGAGUCUUUUGAAGCAGAACAGACCUAAGACAAAGCUGUGAAAGAGGGCCCCAAAUUAUACCCAGUAUCUCCUCCUUUUACCACUCAUUCUUCCAGAGUUCUCUCCUACCAUAUGUGCCCACCCAGAAUUUGUCCUUGCAAGGACCCUUCAACGCUCACAGCACAGUCUCAUCUUAGCCUGUUCUCUCAGGAUGCAGGUGCUUACUAGCUGGAAAACCAGUUGAUGCUACUGGGUGUGGACUGGUUUAAACCAGCGGUUCUCAACCCUGGGGCUACACACUGGAAUUCCCUGGGGGUUUUGAAAAAAAUGUGAAUGUACAGAUGUCCCCUAGACCAGCUGAAUCAGGAUCUCCAGGGUGAGGCUGUGGCUACUAUCUGUCUUCCUUUCCCAAGGUAAUGCCAAUAAACUAUUUGCCCAAGCUGGGAAGAGACCAGGGCAGCCACAUGACAGAGUAGUUAAGAGAGAGGUUCUGGAGCAACAUUGUCAGUUCAAUUGCUAGCUCUACCUGUGUCUGUGUGGUCCUGGGCCAGCCUCUGAACUUACCUGUUCCCUCCUCUGUAUGUGGGAAUAAUAUUCAUCAUAGUACCUCCCCAUGGGGCUUCCAGGAACAUCAGUUGAAUUAAUACCCAUCAAGUACUUAACACCACAGUGUGGGCAUAUAGAAAGUGCUCAACAAAGGUUUGCUAUUUUUUUCUUUCUUUUUGAAACAGAGACAGGGUCUUGCUCUGCUUAUCCAGGCAGGAAUGCAAUGGCAUGAACAUAGCUCACUGCAACCUCGAAAUCCUGGGCUCAAGUGAUCCUCCCACCUCAGCCUACUGAGUAACUGGGACUAUAUGCGCGUGGCAUCAUGCUCAGCCAAUUUUUUAAAAUUUUUAGAGGCAGGGUCUUGCUAUGUUGCCCAAGCUGGUCUCGAACUCCUGGAUUUGAACGACCCUCUCAUGUCAGCCUCCCAAAGUGCUGGUAUUACAGGUGUGAGUCGCCAUGCCUAGCCAAGGUUUGCUACUAUUAUUCCUUCUCUCCAACCUUCUCCCUGUAUUCUUUCUGAACUCCCUUUCCCUAUCAAAGCCCCAUUUCAGGCCUGGUGUGGGGAAAUGCAGCACCAGGUGAGCAUGUGUUGGUGGGGAGGAUUUGGGGAGACACAUCCCCACUGCUUACUCUACCUGUGCUGGGAACUGCACAAAGAAUGGGGGUGAAGUGGGUGAGAGGCCAGUUGGGAACCCAAAAGCUGUCCUCUACAAUUCUUUUUGAAGGCUAGGGAGAUCCCACUCCUACUUCAGGCCAUGCAUUGGAACCAAAGUUGAGGUGGGGGAGAGUGGUGGCUGCACAGAUACCAUAGACAAGCCAAGACCUCCCUGCCUCGCCCUGUCCUGGCAUGAAGGCACAGGUCUGUAACUACAGCAGCUUUUCCCAGUACCAUCUGACAUUUCUUCUGAAUUUGCUUUAGCGCCUAGCAGAGCACUCCAUAAACUCUCCUAAAGUAGGUAGGAAGGGUAGGAUGGGGUAUGGGAUAUGAGGGUCAGAGGGUCAGACCAGAAAGGGUGGAUUAUUAUAAAACAAGUAGUCCUAAGAUUCUGAGGAUGGGCAGGUGUACCCUAAAAGGGAAGCAGUGGGAUUCCCAAGUAAAUACUUCAUCUACUUCACAAGUUUGCCCAAGCCCAGCUCAGGAACAGUAACAAAUGGAAAUGAGCAGGGAUGCCGGCUGUGGACAAGCAGACCCCCUAGGUAGAGUCCACCCCACCUUCCCAUUACCACAGGAAUUAUUACCUUACCACCCAUAGGGGAGGGGGUAAUUGUGGGCAAAUUUGAUGGGCCCAGUGGGACAGUCAGAAACAGCCUGCCUAGAGCCCUAAUGUACCCACCCACAUAGCUGUGACAUCCUCAGCCCAGCCAGGCUAGCCCAGGAUAUAUGGUGUGUGUAGCGCACUCUGCUAUUUUCCUCUCCUUGAAUGUCCUUGAGGACCCAGUUCAGGUGCCUCUGCUGGGACACUCCCUGUGACACUACCAGCCUUCUCUGAUCUACUCUUUCUCUUGACUCCUAAGACUUACUGUCAGGCUCUCUGGUCACCUGAUCAAUCCCAGGCUUGUGAUACCUCAUAUGCUACCUUGUACCAUUAUUUAACUUUUAGUUCAUGUGUAUAAUUUUCCUACUGAAGCAGUAGGAGCUUGAGGCCAUGGCUCCUAAAGCUUUGAAACCCAUGCAGCAACUGAAAUAGAGCUCAGCAUUCAUUCAUUCACUCACUCACUCAAUAGUUAUUGAGCACCUCCAACAUGCGAAGCACCGUGCUAGGUGCUGGGGAUUUGGCAGUGAACCAGAGAUGAAUUCUACAUUGAAGCCACUUAGUAAAUAUUUGUUAAACAGAUAGACGAGUGGAUGGAGACAUGGAUGCAUUAGUAGUGAGUGGAUAAUGUCUCUAUCUGUGGCAUCCCUUCUGCUCUAUGUUACCUCAGAGAAAAAUCUCACUUCUUUACUCUCCGUGAUCCCACAACUGUUCUGGAUGGGGGAAGUCCCAGGAAGUUUAGUCUCAAGUGGAGAGUAGGGAGAGAGGAAACUAAAUUCAGAGGGGUAGUACCCACUUAAAGGCAUCCAUAUGAUGAGUGCUGGGGCCAGAAGAGACUGGAACCAAUGAGUCAUAGGGUCUCAGGGUCUUCAGACAUCAUAUGGGGCUGCUACAGGGAUCUUUUCAGAGCAUCCCCUUCAACAGAUGUUCCUCAGCCUCCAUGCUAACUCUCAAUGAUGGGGCACCUGACACAGGCAUUCCACUGCUUGCCCCUGGUGAUUUCCCUCAUUCUCACCUCUAAGUAACAUCCAAAAUAAAACCAGCCCAGCCUUGGGCCAUGAUAUCCUAACCCACAGCAUGUGCACAUGUACCCACAUCUGCAUAUCUGCUCUACCUCCAGAUCAAAAUAGCAACCAGGGAGAUUGGCAGAGCCUGGAGUACCAGGCUGUCUUCCCAGUUUGGGACUGGCUGAGGCACUGUGACUUCAGUGAGAGUCUGGGCCCAUCCUCAGUCUAGAAAAAGCUUAUGCAAGGAUGAGGGUAGCCUAGAGAAAGUCCAGAAAACCACACAAAUGACCACCUGUUGAUUCCAAGGCGGAGACAGAGCACUUUCUCCUUUUAAAAACAGUAUCCUCUCCUCUCACUCAAGCUUAGCCUGCUCAACUGAACAGCCAGGAAAAGCUGCUGGUGUUUGGUGAUUUGAAGGGAAGGGGGUCUGAACCUCAGAAGCUUGUCACUUACUGGGGACCCUGAUGAGUUUCUCUCUGUUGUCCUGCCUUAUCCCUAAUCUAGCUCCCUGAUCAUUUGAAUGUAACCCUAAUUGGACAAGAAUUUUCUCCCUUUCAGUAUGGACAAAAUCAACAACCAUGAAUCAGAGACUUUUAGAGGAUGGGUAGUGAAGUGGGGGAAGAACAGAACAUUGUAGAGUGAGGGGCAGAGAGGCAGGCAGUGGGCAUGGGUAGGUUCUGGUUUUGUGAUUAGUAAUAUUAUCUCUUUAAUUGAAAAAAAUAAACUCAUUUCAGAUUCGUAUAAUUUCACUAAGUGUACAGUUUUUUCAUGCAGGUUGGUUCACGUGGUCUUCAAACUGUCCUCUCUCAUCUGGGGCCCAGUGAGGAUACCUCAGGAAAGAGCAAGUAGCUAGUGUAAAGCCAGGAUCCAGGUCUUCAAACUCCCAGUCCAGUGCUCUCUAACUACCCACUGUGUUCUCUAAGCACUUGAGGGAGGAAUCCAUGCCUUAGUCAUUAUUGUACCUCCCCCAACUCCACCUCAGCACUUAGUUCAGCAUGAAGCAUGCAUCCAGUAUAUAACCGUGGAGCGGAAGGAGCUGAAAUGUACAUGAUCCAGGGAGGAAAUCAGCAGUGGGAAUGCAGAUGCUCUGAGGCUUUGGGCAUGGGAGCAGCAGAAGAGAGCAAGGCUGAGUAGUGGGCAGGGAGGGUACAGACACAGUUGCAAUAAGGAAAGGGUGGGCAAUGCAACAGUGGGCAGGUGUUGCCUGCCCUUGGAUUCACUAUGCUGGGGCCAAGCAGCUGGUUAGAAACAAAAACAAACACCAGGGAUACAGGUUCCUGCUGUUAACAGCUUCAAACCGCCAGAGGAAAACUCCAAAUAAAUAUAAUUAGAAACUUGUAAAAACGUCCUCUCUGUAAACCUGCUCCCCAGGGUCUACCCUUCAAGCACUCCCCUUCCCCAGCCCUCCCCCCAAUGCCCACAUAUCCUGAUACUCCCCACUUUCAGAGGGAUUCCUUAGAUGUGUUUCCUUAUCCUGGAUCUUCCCUCCAGCCCUGCAGCCCCUGCCCAGGUCUUUCCUCAGCUUGUUACCACCAGUGACCAGACCUGAAGAGCCCCUGGUGUAGGCUCAGAAAUCCAAACCCCACAGCUCUCUAGGGCUAUGGUUAUAACCACAGGGAAAACCAGAGGUAAGAGCAAGGACCACUGUGCCCUAUAUAGGGGUCAUCAUCCCAUUUGUUCAGCCAAAGCACAGCAUCUAACAGCAACUACAAAGCAGUGCUUGAUCUGCAGGGGGACAUGUCUAGGCUAGGGCAGAAUACAGACAGCUAGUCUCAGAGCUAGAAACACGGAAUCCUGGGGCCCAGAUCCAAGAAUAUUCAGUUCCCAUAACACGGAUAUUUCAGCUCCACUUCCCAACUUUGUUGGAUACACACAUAUAGAAACACACAUGUGUUCUUCAGGGGCUAUUUCCAGGGAUAAAUACCCACUUCAUGGACACAGUAAGAACUAUCAGCUACUUGGGGUUCCAGGAAACUGGGGUGGGGGAAGAAAGGAAGAGUAUCCAGAUGACCUAGCCUCAGGCAGGCAGAAGUGGACCAGCAUCCAAGGAGGAGAGCGCCUGAGAUUUGGGUGAGUAACCUGUGGAGGCCCGGCGCCUUCUGCCUUCAGCAGGAAGGAUUUCAGUGAGAUGUGCAGAAUCUCAGGGCUGCAGGGAACCCUACUGAUAUUUUACAAGUGAGAAGAGGGAUUUCAGUGAUUUCCUCCGAGGCUCAAAUCCUUAGGCUCUGCAUUUGUCUAAACCCACUGGCACCAUAUACCUCUAUAUCCCCGGUGCCACUUGAGGCUGGCAUUGGGUGGGCAUAGGAACAGGAGAGUAGCCAGUCCAAUGUUAAGUGGCCAGUGGGGGAGGGGAGUCUCUGUCCCCUCUUAGCCCAGGUGACUAGCUCCUGUACCCCCUAGACAUCCCUGGGUUGGCCGUUGUUUCGCUUCUAUACCCAAGGCCCAGCAGUCCUUCUGUUUCCAGACUCCAGUCUUCUGAGCCUGAAGAAGCUGUCCCCAGGUCUGGGCCUCUUGCAGGCACUGCCAGCCUCAGAGCAGCUCUGCAGUUUCCAGCCCUGACAGGGACUCUUUCUUAUAAGUGGUCAUGUGCUAGGGAUACGGGAUGUCAAAGGAGGCCCACACCCUGACAUUUGGGGACCAGAGCUGGGGGAAAGGACUGAGUGAGUUCAGGCAGCAAGCUCUUCCAGCUCCAUCUUCUCAAAAGGUCUGAAGCCCUUCGUUCCCUUCCCCUGUCCUCAGUUCAAGGCACUGGACCAAGCCAUUCCACUUCUUUACUUCUCCAACUAAAACAAAAUGCAUAUUGCCCCACUUCCUUUUUCCUCUCACCAGAGCACUUCACACACACACACACCCUGAGUCAUGCACACACAUUCACACGUGUGUGAAUGCACACUUCACAUUCCCAAACUCACACCCAGGGCCGGCUCCUCUUACAACAGGUCCCAGCUGCUCACAUCUCAAACCGGUUCUCAUGCUCUCAGAUUCCUGAAGGUUUCAAAAAACAAUCUCAUUUGAGGGCUGCUGAUGACUGUCUUCUUUCUCUGCCUGCAGUAAUUCUGGCCUUAGUGUCUUCUAGUCCCCUUUCUCUUAUUCCACCCUGCAGAGACUCAAAGAGAUGAGAAGGAAGGGGUUGAAAACAGGGAAAAGUCUCUGUACUCUCCCACCCCGAGGCUUUCCCCACCUCUGAGACAUGUCAUGAGAGAAGAGAGGUCAAAGGGAUUCCUGAGGAAUUUCUAAGCAGUCCACCCUCUUCUCCACCUUCUGGAAAAAUGGGGGUGGGCUUAGAGGGAACUGACUAAAGAUCAGGCUCUGAGUGGGGACUCUCCCUCUCUCCAGUGUGGCCUGGACAGGGCACAGGCAAUAGCCGGCUGCCCACGGGGCCACCCUUACCCGCUGACAUGGUUAUGGUUUUCAUUUCAUAUUUUGGAGGGAGGGGCUAGUAGGAACAGUCCCCUCACUGUAAGAGCUGGCCACAGGAGCCCAGGGAAGCGGGGAGGAAAGGAAACAGCCACAUUAAAGAGGAAGAGAAGGGUGGGAGAAAGAAAGAGACACAUACACCCAGACAGAGACCCGGAGAGACACACCGAGACAGAGAGACACUGUUUGCCACCACAUGAACGCUCUCAGUCCCAGGGAUGGGGUUACUUGGAAAUUCUAAAUGCAUGACUUUAUCAAAACUCUAUCCCUAACAAGGAGAGAAAACUACCAGGUAAACUAAACGGCCAGGCUGGCUCUCCUGGAGCCAGCCCUGGGGACAAGUUUCCCUGGAGGCCGAGAGACCUUUUCAUUCAGCUGUAACCUGAGCCCUAUGCGAGGAUUAGGUCUUUUUAACCACUGCUGCACACACCCCCCCCCCCGCCGCGCCUCCCCCCCGCCCCCCCCCCCCCCGCCAAACACCCACCCCCUUACCAAAAGCAAAGCAAAUUAAUGCUUUUAAGUUAACAAUUAUCUUGGUUAUCCAGUCUGUCUACUUUAAAAUAUACAGACAAGCACUUGAAAAACACUCAAAACCAUGUCCCCUCAUGCUCCCUCCCUUCCCAGUCACACAGGCUUACCCACCUACUCUUCCAUACAGUUCUCACAGACACUAAAACAGCAGUUUACCCUUAGCAACUACGUCACAAGAAACACAGACAUCCAGCUAUGUUGCCUGUGGGUAACUGUGGUGAACCUCUCAUGUGUGCACAGUCGCACACUCACCUUUACACUUAGGGCUCCCUUCCUUGUCUCCCCCUUUCCCCCCUUCCACAUGACUUUGGUUUUCCCAUUGUGGGAAUCACUGAUGAAAAGGGACAGAAACCCAGAUACCCCCAGAGGUAUAGUAACUCCGUGCAAGAUACUUGCCAAGGGUAUUUGAUUUUAAAGACCUGCUAGUGCUUUAUAUAAAGCAUGUGGCAUUAAAGGCACACUUUCUGGCACUGCUGAUAACCAGGAGAUAUGUUUGAAGGUAAGGCCUCCCUGAUGCUCACAGACUGUGUCUAUGGGUAAGGCUGUAAGGUUGCCCCGCCUGGUCAGUACUAGUUCUUCCUGCAGCAUCUGCCUGCAAGUUUGUGUCCAGAGACAUCCCUGUAACCCAGCAAACCUGCUAUUAGGCAACCUCUGGCAGAUGGGGUUUGUAGAUUUCCUGAAGAGAAGGGUCAAUGAAAGGCUUCCAUUCUAGGCCAAGCUUAGGGAUCAGAAGAAAAGAAGGAGGAUACCAAGCUAACUGCGGUCCAGUCACAGGAAGGGUGGCCUGUGAAUGAGAUAAGCUGGGGACAAAAACUACUCUAAGUUCCUUGAGGGCAGGGGCCUUCACUCUGGCAGCAUGUUCCUCAGUACCCAGCAGGGAGUCCAAUGAAAGUGGAAGCCCUGGAGUACCAUGCAGGGAUUCUGACUCCCGUUCCUGAAUCAUGAGCUGAUCUCCCAUACUUGAGUGCCUUGGCUUGAUGGCACCUGUCCCUUGGAGGGGUCUCCAUCUGCCCCUGGGCCCCCCUCGAAUACACUGCUUCUCCUUUGGUCCACAGCCUCACUAGGCCACUACAGACACUGGCUCCAACUUGAAAGAGGCCCUUAUCUUGUCUCUAGGUUACUUCAUGAUAUCUGUUCCUUCCUUCAGACUAAACUCCCCACCUAAUUCCAUGUUAUGAGUAAGUCAGCACACACUACAAAAGCCAGCUUUGUUUAUGAAAACACAAAUCCACAGUGAGGAGAGGGGCUGCUCCCAGGUUGGGGGUGGCAGUGGCGAUGCGCUGUCUGGAACCAGGACUGGAAAAGAGGCAGUGUGGGGCUGGAAGGUGUGGGGGCAGGGUCCAGUAUUUGACAGCUGAGGAUCUCUAGUGUUUCAGUUCUGUGAAAGGACAGGUUGGAGGGGGAAGAGGUUAGCUGAAGAGGCAGUGUUUGGGGAGAGGAGGGCGGCAUUGAUACAGCACCUUCCUCUUCACAGAGCAGGAGCCCAUCCAAUACAACAGAGCAGCUUAAGAGCCAAACGCUCAGGCUCUGGGACACAGCGACCUGUGUCGGACACUCAGGCUUCCCCAACUCCCAAGUUCAACUUUCCUUCUGGCCCAGCCAUCUCCUCACCCAGCUGGCUUCAGGAGCCCCUGGGACAAUAGGCAGAAUCAUACUCUCCUGGGCAAAACCUUGCCAGGAGGAAUUUUCUUUUUGUCCAUAUAAAUCUCUUGUCGGUGAGGACACGAUGGGGGAGGGGUACAGCAAGAGGUCAAGGGGGAGGAGAAACUGUCCCGAGAGAACUGUAGUACAUCAGCCUAGUCUCUGCCUGCACAGCCUUGGGACCUGCCAGGCGAUGAGCUGGGGGUCAGGGACGGGGGCGGGAGGCCUCCCUGUCUCUCUUUAAUUCCUAGAGGGAUCUGUCAGAGCUCCCCGGCCUGGAAUUCUACUUUGUUAUUUUAAUGCAAUUCUGACCUGGAUUUAAAUGGAAUUGGAAACCCGAGGCCUUAAUAAAUAAAUAUUAUGAUAAGAAAUGAAAGCCAUGCAAGACGAAAGAGAUUUCACCCCAAAGAGGCAGAAACGCAACAUUCCUGUCGGGAGCCAGUCACAGAAAUUUUCUUCUCUUCUUCAGCCCCCUACCAUCCGGUGAGAGAUGAGUUGAUUUUUCCAUAAAAGAUCCUAUUUUUCUUCAACAUUUUUCCACUGAUAAGGCAUCAACUUAGAAAUGUCUAACUUUGCAUGCGGGUUGGGGGUAAGGGAAAGAAAUAUACGGCACGGCUGAAAAGUUUUCAUUAUUCCCUCAGUCUCUCCAGGCCACAGCGUAAGUUUCUGGCAAUGUUUGAGAGAAGAGAAAAUUCUCUCUCAGAUUUUGGAAGACAAGAAGUCUUUCGAAGAUGCUGGGAGUGGAUGAAGUCGAGCGGAAUUCUGAGGCGCGUGGUCUCUUCUGCCCACCGCCCCCAAGAGUUUCUCACUCCUCUCUGCCGCCCCCAGCUUGUCCGGCUUUUCGCUCGGGGCGCAGCGCCCAGCGGUCGGGCCCCUGGCCGGGGAGUCCGGGUGCACAGAGCCGGGUUCUGACAGCAGCACGCUCCCCAGCACCUGCCCUGCCCCUCGGGAAUCGCUCCUAGGCCCUGAGGCCCAGCAGCCAGGACAGCCCCCAGGCCGCGCGCCCCUCCUUCCUUACCUUGCGCGGCUUUGCUGUACUGGGCGGCGCGGGCGUGGACCAGCAGGACAAGCAGGCAGAGCCCGGGUACGCGCCCCGAGCCCAUGGCUGGAGCUACUGGCGGCCCAGCCGCCGGGGCCGGUCUCGCGGCCAGGGGAGGGCGGAAGCCGGCCGGAUCCCAGCUCGCAGGAGGGGGAGGGGAGGGGGCGCCCCGCCGGGGCCAGGCCGGGGGCUGCAGUCGCGGGGCGCGGACCGCGGCGCCCUCGGCGCGAGGCUCCCGAUGCUACCGGCUCCUCCUGGCCGGACGUCGGGGAGAGCGAGGCGGAGAGUGCGACGAGGCGAGGGGCGCCAGGGGCGACUGACGGAGGGGAACCCCCGCCCUCUCCAAGCCGGCCUCUGCCAGCGGCGGCGGCGGGGCUGCUCCGUGUAAUCCCACCCAAUUCCCAGCUUCGCCGGGAGAGAGCUGCAGCCGGAGAGCGCGCAGAGCCCGAGCGAAGGACCUGAGAAAGGGGAGGGGAAACGCAGCGCCAGAAACACGCCCUUUCUGCCUCUCUUUCUUCCUCUCUCGCUCUUUCUCCGUCUCUCAGGCUCUUUUUCUUCGCCUUUCUCCUCCUCCUCCUCUUUCUCCUCCUCUCCUCGCUCCUUUUCGUUUUCUUCCUCCUCCCCCUCCUCCUCCUCCUCCUCCUCCUCCUUCUCCACCACCUCCUUUUUCGUGCCCUUUUUUCUUUCAAAUGGGGCCUCGGCGCGGUGGCCGCUCCCCCUGCGCGCCCGGGCGCGGUGGCCCCCUCCCCAGGCUGCCGGGCCGCUGCCUGCAGGAAUUUACAAUCCGGCGAUGGGGGAGCGGGCCUGGUCUCCAUGGAGACGGCUUCCCCGGGAGCAGGGAGGUCAGGCGCAGACCGCGCGCAAUCAAUGGAUCAAUGCAAGCUCCGCUCGGCUCCAGACCAAACAGCACCGGGCUCCGACUCGUCCUCGCUCCCCUAGGAAAGAGUCGGGGAGCGAGGGUGCGUCCCCGCGCUCGCUCGCGAGGACGGCCGUGCGGCGCCAGGUUUGAACGCACACCUCCACCCGAGACAAAGAGGGUGCGAGGUGUUGGGGAGGCUGGGGCAGACGUGGACACACGGACACACGGGCACUCGGGCGUGUCCACCGACACAGCCUGACAGGGGACAUAGGACCUCGGAACACACCGCCUCCGACACCAGGCCGAGUAACAACCUCUCAACUUUUACACCUACCACACCCCCAACCUCAAGACUCAGUCCCCAUUCCUAGAUGCGAGUCCACUUUGAGGACCAAAAAGAAAGUAGCCUCCGCCUGCUAAAACUGCCAGCUCCAGGGCAGACUCCCUUGCAGUUAAGGCCUUGGAGGUAAGCCUAAUGAACCACCCUACCCGCAGAGACAUGGACUCACAUACAGACACUCUCAUGUGGUCAGCACAGGGGCGAAAGCUACCCCACAGAAUCAUGUCUAUGUGUAUAAACACAGAGACAUAGAGACAGGUACAAGAGGCUCCUCCAAACCUGCACCCCGCUUCAAGAGGUGGUCCUGACUGGUCCAUUCUGAACCCUUCAUCCUUCCAACUGAGGGGAAGCAGAGGAAAGAGAAAGGAUAUUUUUAAAACAGGGGCAAACCGCAGAAGGAGCAGGGUCUUCCAACCAUGGAUGCUGCCUCUUGACUGUUCACCCACUCUGUAUCUUCUUUCCUUCCAUUGUAAGGGAAAGAGGAAAGACCUCUUGAAAGGCUAUGAAGACUUUCUUGGAGUGUGAGGCUGUGUUCAGAAUGAGACCAGGCCAGGUCCAGUUUUCUACAGGGAAGAUGCUGCUAGGACCCAGACUAGCCUCACAGAGCCCUCAGCGUACCCAGGAGGAAGAGGCAAUGACCAAGAUCUCCUCAAAGGUGCCGCCAUCUAACAUACCAUCCUUCAGCCCUUGGUGAAGUCCUGAAGCCAGACCUCUGGGAGUCUACUCAGGGAACCCACUGCCUCAAACAAAUUUGCAAAUAAAAUUAUUGUAUUUGAAAUAGGCCCACAUUGGUGAAGUUAAGAUGUGGAACUAAUUGUAUGUGUAUUUCUAUAUAACCACAGACUCAAUGUUUGAUGUUUGACAUUUAUUGUGCACUUACUAUGUACCAGGGACUUAAAGGAUGUGGGGAUUCAAAGAUGACAUGGUUUCUCCUUUUAAGUUUAUGAUUUGGCAAGAGAAAUUCACAUCUAAAUAAUUGGAAUAUAAGGCAGAAUGUGGUAAAUGUCCAAACAUGGAGGUGCCAACAUAAAAUUCUAAUGAGGGCAUAAAGAGCACAGAUUAAUUCCAGCUGGAAGCAGGAGGACAACUCAGUGGAGGAGGAAAGGGUUUAAAGCUGACCUCAAAGAAUAUAUAGAAUUCUCAUACAUGGAGUUGGGUGAAGAGAGUGAGGGCUUUCCAGGUGGCAGGAACAACAUGAGCAAAGACUUGGAGAGGAGAAUGUCUUCAGGGAAUUAAUAAUUGGUUCAAUCAGAGACAAGUAUUUCAGAGAGUGUGGAGGAAGAUCUGAAAGGUGGGAUGGGGCUAGACAAUGAAGAGCCUGUUUCCAUCAGAUGCUAAGCGACUGACAGUGUUGCAUAGGCUCCGGGAACCCGGCAACUUUACAGCAAAGUAGCAGCAUGGCGGGCUCACUUCAUGAAUUAGCUUUAUGUGUGCUCCAGGAUUUCUUCAAUGUGUUGAUUUUUAGUGAAUUUAUUUCAUCAUGAAUGCAGGAAGAGAACAGAAAGAAAAACGGGGAAAAGAGGACAUAAAAAGAAGUGGGCUGGGCAUGGUGGCUCACACCUGUAAUCCCAGCACUCUGGGAGCCUGAGGCAGGCGGAUGACGAGGUCAGGAGAUCAAGACCAUCCUGACUAACACAGUGAAACCCCAUCUCUACUAAAAAUACAAAAAAUUAGCUGGGUGUGGUGGCGGAUGCCUGGAGUCCCAGCUACUCGGGAGGCUGAGGCAGGAGAAUGGUGUGAACCCCAGGAGGCGGAGCUUGCAGUGAGCCGAGAUUUGGCCACUGUACUCCAGCCUGGGUGACAGAGCAAGACUCCGUUUCAAACAAACAAACAAACAAAAAAGAAGUGACAGGGAGGGAAAUAAUGGACAGAAGGAAAAGAGAGAUGGAGAAGGAAGAGAGAGAAAGAGAAGGAGGCAGCCCUGGAGGAGACAAGGCAAACCCUGAACUGUUCAGGGGCCAAGCUUAAGGAGCUACUUGGGCUUUUCCAGGCAAACGACCUCUGGCUUCUUGCCCUGGCCAACCACAGAGGACAAUGUGAGGCGAGUUUGUUUGGUGAUGUGUUUUCUGCUGGCCCUGUUUGUUUGUUUUUCAUUUUUCUGGUAUUGGACAGAUCUGGGGUGAAGGAAGAGGGAGACAGGGUUGUGGCUGGCAUUGAUAGUGGUCCUUGGGCUGGGCUCUGGGCUGCCCAGAGCCCCCCUUUAGUGGGGGCUUAUGGGCAUUGGAGCUGAACUUUUGAUGUCCCUGGAAGGGGGCCUUUUUGUAGGUGCCCAGAGCCAGGUGGCCUUCCCAAGCCUGGAGAUGGUUUGCCCUAAGCUCUUUGUCUCUGUCUUUCCCCACCCUGGCAAGAAAGAAUUAGUCCUUGAGGCCUGGGCUCCUUGCCUGUGUAGCCAGGAUGUCGUGCUGGGCUGGGGAGCCCAUGGGGGUAGCAAGAGCAGCUGCUUCCAGAUUGGUGCUGGGGAACGCAGGGGCAGUCCACGAGAGCCAGCCUUCUCCCCAGCCCCGAUGAUGAGUCUGGCUUUCUCUCCCGUCCCACAGCCCUUGGAAGCCAACCUAACAAGUUCUAUUAAAGUUAAUGAAACACAAUGAUUCCUCUGUUUGCUUGGUUACAACUCAUUACGAGUUGCUCUUGCUUGCUCGGCUUUUGCAGAGGAGAUUCAUUUGAGUAGCCAGUGCUUGGCCUUUGUCCCCCUAAUUUUUACUGGCCCAUUAACAAGAUCAGACACUUUGGCUGACCAGGAAUAUCUAGUACCCAAGUCCCAACAAAACCCAUUGGGUGGAGUUUCAGAUGACCUUUUGAGUCUAAAUUAGCCUAAAAACAUGCUGCCGCCCUUCCUCCCUCUGUUGCUUCCCUAUAUCCAAACUCAGUUUUAUAUGUAGGUACAAUAGGAGUAUGCAGAGAUUUCAGAAGUUAGGAGAUGCUUUUCCAGCCUCUUUAGAAUGUAUCUCAACCCACUGAUUUAGAGAAGUUCCCUAGUAAGAGCUCCAGCUCGAUUUAAGGGCUUUCCUCCCCCAUUUAAAUGGAAAUAAACUGAACAUUGUUAGUCACUUAUACUUUGGUGUGAAUUAGUUCAUAUUGUCACUUUAAGGGGAUUUGGGAGUCUCCUAAAUUGUAUACAAACUUUUGUCCACAUUAUCCAUUCUUCCAGAGAGAGGUUUUCUAUAGCUUUCUUCAAAAUUUCCAUAACCGUCCCCCCACCCCCUACCCCAACACGUACACACACACACACACAAACUCUCUCUCUCUCAAAAGGUUAACAACCUCUGUGUUAGUAGAAGAGUGGGCCGUAACUGGGGCACAGAAGACAAACUCUCCUUCCUUCACCAUCUGCUUGGCCAGUCCUGCCUCUAAGGAGGGACCUUCCCCUCCUCCUUGAGUUCCUUAUCCACAGACCUCCCAUUGUCACCACAGCUCAAUCAUGUGCUUCCCAAAUCUUAAAACCAACCUCAAGUUGGUGGGGAGGAGUCAAAAGGAGAGCCCUUGAACUCUAUGUUGAUUUACAUGCCGAGGCUGUAAAUGAUAGGUUUACAUGCUGGUGUAAAUACUCAUAAACUCGCAGUAAGUGCAGGGCAUCACAUGCUUUCAGUGUCCAGAUCCUCUGCAGCCCGUACAGGCCUGGCAUUCUCAGGGUCAGGGAGGAGAGCGCCGAGUUGGCAGCAGCUAGCAUGACAGGGGCUGACUAUGACUAUGGAGGAAAAGGGCGUGCUUGGAGUUGGUCUCUAAACCCUCAUCCUCUCCCAUACAGCAGGUGGCUUCUGCACAGUGAUACCUUGGCAUGACUCCCCCUGCUGCUCAGCCAGCCUGACUGUUCUUUUGGGUUAAAGCAUUGUCUCCAGAAGGUCCCUGUUAAAAUGCAAAGGGGCUUCUUGCAGGGUGACUUGGGCUGGUUGGCUGACUGGCUGUCACUCAACAGAAAACAGAGACCCCAGAUCAGGGAGGUUAAGGUUUGGGAGAAAGGUUCAGGUGGGUCAAUACUAUAGCUAUAUGAAGUUGAUUUAAAUGGCUUUCCAGGUGUUCUCCCUAAUUCCACUCUUGGGGGCUGAGAAUCUAUCCUUCAUAUGGCAGCCAGAGUCGUUUUAAAGCUGGGCCAUACAACCUCAACGUGAUUGACGUUUGUUGGGGGGCCAUCCUAUGCAUUGUAGCACAUUUAGCAGCAUCCCUGGCCUCUACCCACUAGGUGCCAGCAGCAGCACUCCCUCCCCACGUUGCGACAGCCAAAAAUGUCUACAGACAUUGACACAUGUCCCCUGGGGGAGGGGAGUGAAAUCAUACCCCCUAUCUUCACUUCCCCCUGCCCCACUGAGAAUCUCCAUCAUAAAGUGUAAGUCAGCCCAUGUUACUCCCUGGUCAAAAAUCCUACCAUGUCUUCUCAUUGUUCUGAGCAUGAAAUCCGCCGUUUGGCCCAGCCUUCAAGGCCUUGUGUAGUCCAGCCUUGCCUCCCUCUCCUGCCCCACCUUGUACCCCUCUGCUGUCAUCUACCAUCACCCUUUAGCCACAUAUAACCCUUUUUGACAUACCUCGAUAAACCAAGCUCUUUCUUGGACAGGGUGGAAGAUGGAGAGAUAUGGGCAGAUUUAGAGUAAGUUUCAGAGGCCCUAAUUUCUUUGGAUUUUACUGGGAGGCCUUUUCUUUUCGCUUUUUUGAGAUGGAGUUUAACUCUUGUCGCCCAGGCUGGAGUACAAUGGCGUGAUCUCGGCUCACUGCAACCUCUGCCUCCUGGUUUCAAGCAAUUCUCCUGAUUCAGCCUCCUGAGUAGCUGGGAUUACAAGCGCUUGCCACCAUGCCCGGCUAAUUUUUGUAUUUUUUAGUAGAGACAGGGUUUCACCAUGUUGGCCGGGCUGGUCUUGAACUCCUGAUCUCAGAACGUAAGCUCCAUCAGAGCAGGGACCAUGUCUGGCUUGUUCACUAUCGUGUCCUCAUCAUCUCCUGUACUGCCUGCCACAUGAACAAUGGCCAUUAACAGGCAUGGAACUGGAGCAGAAAUGGAAUGAACCCUAGGGGCCUGGGAGCCUGGAGGGGUGUAGGAGUGGGGAGGGGAUUGGGGAGACAGGCGGCAGAGGAAAGCGCCUGCCCUCGCCUCCUCCCAUCACCCCCUAUACCCCUGUCCCUAAUGAGGUGCUUCUGGCGGCACCUGACUUUUCCAUUGCAAACACCACUUGACUCUCGGCCCUUCACACUCUCAUGAGGUUCUAAGGGGCUGCACAGGCGCCGCCCACCCCAGCCAUGCCCUGGGACUCACCACACACCAGGAAGGCCGGGAGCUGCAGCAAGGGGACAGCUUAAAACAGCCCCACCAACACCCCAAAGUGGGUCUCCCAGUUCCCCGAGAAGGCCUGGAUGCCCUGCUGAAGGGUGAGCAGGGCCAUGUGGGUGACUUGGAGGACCCAAUUCCCCGGCCAUGGGAACCCCCAGCCUGGGCUUUCUUUGGGGGUAGCUGAGACAACGAGCCCCCACCCAGAGCAGGAGAUGACGCAUUUUUUCUGUGGCCACAAGCCACUUUGACGGGUCCGCCCCACUGGGGAGCAACCGAAACCUCAUCCCACCCAAAGCGGCCUUUGUCUGCACUACAUAUUUGUCUUAUUUGGAAGAUUUUUGUGGGUUUUCCUGUCUUUCUCCAGCGCUCACUGCCCUAAGGGGGACGAAGGCCAUGGCGGAGCUGAGGGAAGGGGGUGAGAGGCAUUCUUGGGGCGCUGUGCCUGGUGGUCUGCAGCACAUUUGGGGGUGGGAGAGAAAUCCACCCCACACACCCUCGGCGCCCCAGUGAUGCCUUGGCCCCAGGCCACACUCUGGGCCUUGCCUGUCCUCUGUGGACUCGUGCCCCUCCUGGUCCUCCCAGAGCUGUUUCCUCUCCAUCUUCUCUCAGCCUCCUCAGCUCACUCUCCAAUACUUCUGUUUAUUCCCUCAUGUUCCAUCCUUCCAGCCAGCUUGGCACCUCAUCAUUUCCUACCUCCCCCGUCAUGGGACCCUCUGCUUUCUUUCUACCUGUCUGAAUUCUGAAGACUCUCCCAGGGCUUGUUCCCCCAUCUUGCCUCCUCCUGGGAGCCUCCCUGGACUACUGUAGCGCUUGGCAGGAUCUCCUCCUUCUGAAAUGUAAAAGUAUGUGUUUUCUAUCCUUUCUGUGAUUCUAAACACACCCUGCCCCUAUACCACCUGCCCAGCUAAAUAGAGGCCAGAGGCCAUGGCUUUUGUGCCUUGGCGUCCAAGCCCCAUCCUGCCUUGUACAAAGCAAUUGCUCAACUAAUAUUUGUUGGUUUGGGGCUUCUUAAGGGCUACCCAUGAGAUUACCAACAAAUUAGAGAAUUUCAGUGAUGGAAGGGACCUAAGAGCUUGAAUUCUUGCUAAGGGGUGUCUGGGUUCAGCUUACAUACCUUUAAUGACAGGGAUCUUACCACUUCCUGGGGCAACCCAUUCCCUUGCCUGUAACUCUGACCAUAAGAAAGUUCUUCCCCACGUUGAGCUAAAACCUGCUGCCUUCUGGCUUUCCCCACCCUACUCCCAACUAGGUCACAUCAAACUAUUCCAGUCCUCUUUCCUCACGACCACCCUUCAGAUAUUUGAGGGCAGCAAUCUCCUACCUCUGCAGUCUUUUCUUUUCCAGGGGGAAACACCUGUAGUCCUAACCUUCAGUGCCCCAAUGCCCCUGAUGACCAUGGACUUUGGGUAUUCCCCCCCACCCCUGUGCUGGGCCUCUCCCACAUCCCUGCUGAACUCAUUCUUCUCACAAAAUCCCC